This 57067-nucleotide long non-coding RNA is filed under the name Coffea arabica (coffee). Its description in RNAcentral is "long non-coding RNA (CARA_LNC005221)". The record is from RNAcentral. Lineage: Eukaryota; Viridiplantae; Streptophyta; Magnoliopsida; Gentianales; Rubiaceae.
CACCACCAUCCCCUAUCUCCUCUUUCCUCUCCCUCUCUCUUCCUCCUCUCUUACUGUUCCCUUCCCCUUUCUCGCCACACCCCACUGCUCCCCUUCCCCCCCCUUCCCAAAAAUCUGGCCUCGAUCCGGGUGAGGCAUGGCUGGAAAAGGGAAGAGAAGGGGAAGGAAGGAGGGGAGGAAAAAAACGGAGGAAGAAGAUGGGAGGAGGGGAGGAGGAGGAAGAAAGAGAGGGAGGAGGAAGAGGGAGGGGGAAUAAAGAGAGGGAGGAGAAGGGAAAGGGUGGUGGGUGGUGAUGGUAAUUUUUAAAAAAUACCAAAAAAAUUUUUAAACUUUAAAAAUACUCCAAAAUAUAUCCCAAAAACACCUUCAAAAACAUUUACAGUAAAAAGUUUUUCAUAUACAAUGUUAUAGUAAAAUAUUUCAAAAACACUCUUGUAAUGCAUGGUCUUGUGACUUUGGUGCUUGAUUAUCAUAACCUUGUUAUGUCCAAUCCAUUGUUCUGUAUCAUAAGUUCGACCUCCAACCUGUGUUUUUAAACUCGGACCGGACAGGGCAGUCGAACCGGGAACCGAACAAGUGUCCGGUCCGAGUUACUCUAAAAAAUCAGGUGUAUAAAAACUCAGUCAAAAACUGGAUUUGACCGGCAAACCGGAUGAACCGGUUUGAUGUCAAGGGUUUUUUUUUUUUUUUUUUGAAAAGGUCAACAUUUUCAAUAUUAUGUUUUGGCCCCUAGGUUGUUAAAAAUUAUGAAUAUAUCACAAAUAUUUCAUACUUUAUAAUUGUUGUUCUAAAGUUUGGUGUUAUUUUUCAAUCAAAUCCAUAAUUUUAAUUCUAAACUUGUUAAUGUUCAUUUAAUAAUAUAAAUUACUACUUGAUCAUUCUAAUUUCUUUGUAUUUUCUUAUUAAAUAUAUUUGAAACAUCAAAUAUAUAUGAAUAUACAUUUAUUAAUAUUAACAUACUCUUAAGGAUUUGACAUAUAAUAUUUUAAUUUUUAAAUAAUUUUUAGUUAUGACAUUAUCCGAUUCAACCCCAAUCGAACCCAUUGACUCCUAAGCUCGACCAAGGCGAUGGCCGGUCCGACUCUGAAAACAUAGCCUCCAACAGCCUCAGAAUGCAUUUUUAAACCAAAAAGCUUCUCAGCCAGUGCAUGUAAAUGCAUUUUUUUUCUGCCUGUUUUGGUUCUAUUUGAUUAUAUUUAUUGCUGCAUAAGAAAGCAAGUUUUGCAUUUUGCAUCAGGGGUCCCAAAACCUUAGGGUGUGCAUUGUGGGUAAGGGCAGAGGUAGGGUGUUUAAUUCUUGGUUAAUCCUUGAGAGCAAGUCGAAUCCCAGUUUGGUAAGGAUGGAUGCGUUUAGUGAACCCUACAGUUCCCAGCUGCUGGUUUUCAACUGGAAAUUGAAAACAGAAAAGCAAAUGAGUAAAUUCAUAUUUAUUGACCUCCAGCUUGUUUAAUUAUCAGAGAGGAAUUUUUGUACUUGAAAAGUUUAAUAGAUAGAUUUGCAAACAUUUCAAAGCUUGUUGAGUGUCUUAUUAUUUAUUAUAAAAUUAUCAUUUUUUUUGGGAGGGGAGGGGUUGGAUAGAAGCUUAGAGACGUGGGAGUGUCGAAAUGGGAGUCCGUUGCUAUUGGUUGAGAUCCAUGGUCUGUAUGAACUCUCUGAACCUGAGCCUUGGGAUAAGAGAGUUGUAUGAAAAGCGUGAGAUUGUGUCUAUCAACUGAUUUUUCAUUCAUGCAGGGUAUUGCUCGGAAGCUGGUAAAGGCUGCAUUGCAAGAAGCAGCCAAGAAAAGAGAGAUGAGGUACUCUGACCUGAAGAAGAUAGAUCGUGGAGUUCGACGGCAUUUUCAUGAUGACAUUACGGUCAUAGUUGUUUUCCUAGAUUCGAAUCUUGUGAGUAGAGCCAGCACUUUGAGAGGCCCCACGUUGUCCCUAAGAGGUGGUGGUAUCAACGUGCCGGCGAAAGCUUUGGCUCCAACACAACUCGGUAGUGCAUGAAAUCUACAUCUGUUGUAUACUCUGCUGUGUCCUUCUGGAACUUCAUGUGACCAUCUUAUGGUAGAUUAAGAGAGACUGGAGAAGGUGCGGCACUAAUUUAAUUUUUACCCCCCGUGUAAAAUUGUAACGUUGACUUGGAACUGGUGUUUUGUUUAGUUUAUGAUCAGUAAAAAAGAGUGAAAGGAUAAGGAAGUAAAGGAGACCUUGAAAUUUACUGUAGAGAUUCUUUCUUGAGGAUUAUCGUUUCAGCUUAUAUUCAUUUUCCUUCCCUUGCCCGCCUCUUUUUUGAAGUGUAUCAUGUAAAUGGUGUAAAACUGAAUCCUCUUGAAAUCAAAAGAUUGUUUGUCUUGUUACAGCUUGUGAUUCAUCAUCUCAGAUGACAAAGUUAUGGUUACUGUAGCCUUAGGGGACUACAACUGCAUGUACCUCGUAAUACAUGGUGUUGGGCGAGAUAAAUUCGGCUUUUCAGGCAUGGAGAAUGGAUUUUACAUCUAGAGAGGAUUUGGUCCUUUUGGAAUGAUAAGUGCAGGUUUAUGACCAAGUUAAAUGAUGAGCGGCGAAGAAUAUGAUCAGGCUGAUCCCCAAGAGAUAUCAGUUCGGGCGGUACGGUAAGCAGACGGAUGCCGCCCAGCUUUAGGUUUUCUUCUUUGUUAUUCUUCCUCUUUCACUAGAAUCUAGUCAAUUAUAAUAACUUAGACCCUUGAACGAAUAUACAAGUACAUGUGUUCUGAUUAAUUGGUGAUCUUUGGGUAGAUAGGGUAAAGCAACAAGGAUAAGGUAUUCAAGCAUGGUUAGCCAUCUCAGUGGAGUCCGACAAAACUCAGUCGAGUCAUCAUUGGAACAGAGGAAUUGUUACGAUAUUGAUCUCUAAAUUGUAAAUAAAUCUUGCGGUGGCUCGCUCUGACUUGAUCGAUAUUGGACAAGUCAAAGCCAAGUCAAAACUGAAAUCGACGUAAAUCUUCGAGUCCACUUGGGAAUCAAACAAAGGCAGACAAAAAUUUGCAGAAACAGAGUUAUGCAACAAAUUGGUGCUACUCCAAUGGUUCACAACAACAAUUGCCUUUCAUCAUAUCUCUAUUGUUUUACCUUUUUUUUUUUUUAAGCUUUUAUUGGAAAAUUGAACGCCUAAUAAUUGAAACCAAACAAGCAAAUUGAUAGGUUAUGCACUUAUCCUUUUAGAAGUCAAGCCCAUCUCCAUUUUUCCUAACAAUAGCCAACAAUCAUGUGUGAGUUGAAUCCCAUCUCCACCAAGUCUUGCCUUUGCCUUUGUUUUUAUUAGAAAAGAAAAGAGUUUUUCAGGAAAAUUUAAUCCAUUAGUAACGGCGAAGGGAAAGGAAGAAAAGGGAGGGAAAGGCUCAAGAUUUGGUAGCCAAUAAGGAUGAUGCAACAUGAUGGUCGUGACUAGUGAUGCUAAUAUGACAAGUCAAUCAAAGGUCAAGGAGUUAGGAAGCUUUGGGGUUAAAGGCUUAAAUAGGUGCUAAUGUGAUAAUUAGGGUAAAUAUGGGUUUUUCAACUUUCAAAUUUAGGGCAAAUUAUCCAAUUAGCUCUUGAACUUUUUAUCUAGGUAAAAAUAAGCCUCUCAUCUAUUUUUGGCUGAUUUUAAGCCCUCGAACUUGUAAAAUUGAACACCGUGACUCUUUUAGCCAGUUUAUCCGAUUUUGCAACCGGAAGGCCAAUUUACAUGAAUGCCUGUGUGAUUCUUCAAAAGGCAUUUUUGUCCGCAUCUUCUAGGUAAAAAUGGAACAACUCCUCCUAGUUUGUUAUCCCAGUGAAGCAGAUGGGUACUUACUUCACUCGACUAGCUUCUCAAAUCUCAGUGUGGGUGUGUGUGUCUCAAUCAUGGAAGCAUACAAACUAUAGCGUGUUCGUACUUACCAGAAGAAGGGGACCGACAACAUAAGAAAAACCAGCCAAGAUAGAAGAGGAAGUUCAUGGAAAAGGAAUAGAAUUGUUUUUACUACAUACUUCUUGUACGUAUUUCAGUUUGAGGUUUUGAGGAGAGGUGCGGUUUCUUUCACAGUGGUAAAAUGCAGAAAUAAUACUCGGUCCAAGAAGAAGAGGAAGAGUGGUUAAAUUUAUAAUUCCAGCAUCCAUCUCUGGGGAAAUCAAAUUAAUUUCAACUCUGAGUAAAGAUGGCGGAUACUACUAGUAAUUAAUGGGGAAGUUGCACGGGAACAACCUCGGAUCCGUGGUGUUCGACCACCCGACUCCCGGCGGAGGGCGUCAGUUUAAGAUUUGGUCAGCCUCAUUCCGCCGUAUUAUACUGGACACAGUUCAGUGCGGGACGCGGCAGCAUCAUAAGCUCAACAACACUGGCAAAUUAACCAUCCAAGAGCCCAAGCUGGAGCCCGACAUUGAUCUCACUGUAGUCACAACACUGAGAUAUGAGUUGAGUAAAGGUAGUAUUAGCAGUGGGAUUAAGGAUCCAACAAACACACCGCCCUCCGAAUCUGACAAGUUAUCAGACCUUCUGAAGCUAUCGGAAAAAGAAAACGAACCGGACGAGGAAGAGGCGGAGGCGGUGAAGAGGAAAGUGGAGGCACUGGAGGAAUUGAAGACAGUGGUGAAGAAUCUCCAAAGUAGCAGUAGUGGUAGCAGCAGCCAACAACUCGAGGAAAAUGAAAACCAUGGCUUCUUAGCUCCAGAUGUUCGCGUGUUGGAGGCAGCCAAGGAGAUUAGAAGGCUCGCUAAAGGCGAUUCUCAAGCCAGAACCACUCGUGCUUUGCUCGGAGCAAUAUCCCCGCUCGUGGCUUUGCUGGACGCCCCCCCGCAAUUCUACUUGUAGUACUUAUUCAUGUUUGUUCCUCCUUCCUAGAGAAAUUCCUCGAGGAUCCCAAAUUCGAGAUUGAAUCUGUAAUCCCAACAAGAUUACAGAUUCACUCCAACAGGAUGUAAUCUUGUUGUUACCCCAGUGAAGAAGGAGGAGUUGUUCCCUUUUGCUCAGAAGAUGCGGACAAAAAUGCCCUUUGAAGAAGCACACUGGCAUUCGUGUAAAUUGGCUUUUCGAUUGUAAAACCGGAUAAAUUGGUUAUAAAAGGGUCACGGUGCCCAGUUUUACAAGUUCGAGAGCUCAAAGUCAACCAAAAAUAGAUGAGAGACUUAUUUUUAUCUAGAUAAAAAGUUCAAGGGCCAAUUGGAUAAUUGACCCUCAAAUUUAUGGGCUUUCAAGGGUAUGGAAUUUGACAUUUUGAAGGUGGUUUUUACAAAGGAAUUUUUUGGGCCUAUUUGAUGGAAGCGCAGAUUAGCUAUUUGAGCAAAGGUUUGUUAAUUUGUUCAUUUAUUUGAAAUUGUUAAAGGUUUUAUUUCUAAUUUACUAUUUUCCUAGAUUUAAUAUUUAAUAUUUUUGUUAUGUGAUUUGCAAAUUUAUGUUACAUAUGCUUAACAAUAUAAUUACUUAGACUAGAUUUAUGGUUUGUUCAACAAAUUUCUCCUUAUAUGUUAUCAUCAGCUCGAGUGCGAUUAAUAUUGUGUUGUAUAAAAUAUAACGGUUUUAAUCUUAUAUUUAACUUUUGAUAUCAUAUAAAAUAGGAAUAAAAGGUGUUCUUAAUGGUAAAAUGAUUUACUUUUAAUGCUAUAGAUCAUUAGUUACAGUAGCAUAAAUUUGUUUAACUAAUUAGUGACACUGUAGGUAUUUAACAAAUCUAAUUUGAUAAUUGUACUUGUUAUGGUAUUUUCUAUUUUGUAGUAAGUUUUUCAUAUUUUUUGAAAAUUUUUAUGUGCUGUAACGUGCAUAUCAUCUGAUAUCCAACCGACAUGUCACGACGGAUAUGGAACAACCGCAAUCACGACAUGAGACCUGCGACGGCGAACCAUGUAUCCAAGGGUCCAGAAAAGCCAGAAACCUUUAAAGAUGAAUUUGAAAUCAUGUCAGAUAUCUAGAGCUGGAAAACCAGGCUGAAAUGCAAUGAUGGAUGCAAUCUAGUUGCUACUUUGGAUGCAAGAGACGACGAGAGAAUUAUCUGAAGCAACUUUUGAACUCUGUGGAUGACAUCGAUAUAAUUCUUCAAGAAAUGCUGCAAAUUUUCACUUCCUAUGCAAAGAUAUUAUGCCUUUUCAGCUUCAAUAUUUCACGAACUUGAAUGCUUACGAAAGAGAAAACCAAGAAAACUAAACUGGAGAGAAAUUCUACUUAGAAAAGUUCUUAUGUACAUGUGCCCCCCAAUCCUUGAAAUUGGACAGUGAAUGCAAAUAAUCCUCAGAAGAACAUAGGAUUCAAAUCUACCCAGUUGGCAACUCAAGUACCAAAAUAACCCUUUACAAACAUACAAGCAAACCUUCUCUCUUUCUCUAAAACACACAAUGUUAUAAUGGGUAAUGGCAAAUCAUGCUAACAUCAUAGUCUAAGCUGAAUUCAUUUGCCCCUGUGACCUUGUCCUCAUCCAUGCUUAUACUUAUCUCCUCAGCAAUGCCUCUUAGAUUCUUUGCAGCAGCAUCCAUGUUAAUGCUGUGCUCGAAACACGUCAAACUCGAACUCCGGAAAGAGUGACUAUCUAUGUCUACAUGAAAUUUUUGAAGUCCAAUUCCAUCUAUGCUUAUGGAACUUUGAGAAUGACCAUUGUCAAUCGAUCCGCGAUCCCGAUAACCAGUUGAUCCACUACGGAAUCCUGAUAGUUCCUCGGAAUACAAUGAAGAUUGUUUAGGUAUAAAGAUUUCUACUGAAUCAAGAGCUGUCUCUAGUUCUUGCCACACUUGAGUCAUUGUAGGCCUCUCUUUCGGCAUCUCCACCACACAUCUUAAUCCAAGUUGUCCCAUCUUCAACAUUAUCUCCAUGUUACAUUCCUCUAGUAGAAUAUUUGCAUCUAUGAUUUCGUCAACUCUUCCUCUCUCCAGGCUAGACCUCGCCUGCACUUUUGGAAGAAAAAAAGAUCAUUCCAUUUCUUCUUUCUCACUCGAUCAUAUCUGGAUAAUGCAUGUGUUGGUGCAAAAUACACAAAAAUCAGCGCGGACAGCAUGAUUGCAACAAAAAUAAGGACCAAAAGGGGCACUUGUAUGUAAUGCUGGUAUUCACGUUUAUUCUACAUAAUAAGAUAGCCGGAUCUUUUACUUACCCAAUCAACAACAUGAAUAUUAGGGUGUUUUCUAGAUGAAUCGACUGCAGGUCUAGCAGUAACAAGUUGCAGAAGAAUGACACCGAAGCUAUAAACAUCGGUAAAAGGACUUAAAUGGAAGCUUGCACAGUAGGCAGGGUCAAGGUACCCUGGUGUCCCUUUAAUCUGACUGCUUACAUGUGAUUGAUCCCCCACAGGACCUGAUUUAACAAGGCCAAAAUCUGAGACCUUAGCCUCAAAAUUCUCGCUUACUAAGAUGUUACUUGGUUUUAUAUCUCGAUGGAUUAUACUUGGCUUUACUCCUUCAUGCAGAUGAGCUAUCCCUACAAAAUUAAGCAGAUGAUGCAGUUUAGGAAUUGACCCCUUCUUGUACUUUUUAUCAUUGAACUGUAAAAAGAGCUCUCGUUAGAACUCACCCUUGGCUGCUCCAAUUGCUAUAUUUACUCUUUGCCUCCAAGUUAAGCUCUUUCCUCCCCUUCCUGUAACAGCAAUCAUAUAUUCAUUAAGAAUAUUCAUGUACAUUAUGACAAAAAGUAACUUCAAAAAAAUUUUUUUUUUUGAGUUACUGAGAUUUGACUAAUACCCAAACAAGUGUUACAGAAUACAAGGGGUAUGCCCCUGGCACCAACACUAAUUCAAUCCAUGGUAGGAUUAACAACAAAACACCCACCCAAAUCUAACACAAUCCCAACUUAAAAUCCAACACAAGUUAUACAACAAUAGAAGAUCAUUAACGAAAAUCAUGGUAUGUUAGUAACCAAGACAUCUUAGGUUCAAAACUUACCCAUGAUAUAAUCAAGUAAUGAACCAUUGCUGACAUAUUCAUAGACCAUUAUCUUUUCUGCUCUUGAUCCUGAUGAAACGCAAGCUAAUUAGACACUUGGUGCAUGAUACAUCUAUGUGCUGUUAGGUAAAUAUCUCAUGUUUAGGUACAUCAUCUUACAACAUUAGUCUGCCUACGCAAGUAAAAAUCAGACAUUUAUCGGUGUUAUAGUUUACCAGCUUGCUCGCAGAACCCUACCAGACCAACAAGGUUCUCGUGCUUCACUUUUGAAAUCAACCUGACCUCUGUUUCACAAACAAACCUAUAGUGAAUCAGUUUUACAAAUCGGAUGGAAAACUAUGUGGCUAUGAAAGAAAUAAAUGGUAUAGCACAAGUUAUGGAGCGUUGCCAUUUCUAAAUUCCUCGAUGCUUGUGCAUGACGAAGGAUGAAGCUUUUUGAUUGCCAAUACUCCCUCGGCUUCAAACGAUCCUCUAUAUACAUUUCCAAAUGCGCCAGUACCAACCAAGCAAUCUUGGCUAAAAUUAUUAGUUGCCUUCUGUAGUUCUUCUAACUGAAAUCUUCUUGACCACAUCUUUCCCGCAUCCAGCUUACCUAAACAUUGCCAAGAACUGGCUCAGCCUUUUCGCGUUGAACAUGCCUUAGAAUCUUAUCAAACAUAACAUAAGACUAAUUGACUUACCUUUGCCGUUUUGUCGUAACUUACAGCCUGCAUAAAGCUUCCUCUUGUAACAAAUAAUCAACCAGCCAAUCACAAAUACGGCAACAAUAACUAUGAUAAUCCCUCCCCAUACAUGUUUGCGCGCAAGAAAUGAACCACGAUUUUCAGUUUGUGCAGGUGCUAAAGCAGGCAAAGAUGGUGUUUUUUCUGCCAUGAUGCGUUGAUAUCGUUUCCCAAUUAGAAAAAUGGCAUGAAAUCCAACUCGUAAGUUUUAAUUCUUGCAAGUCUAUUCGUUAAAACUACUACUGAGUUUACUCUCUUCUGUAUAUUAAUUACUCGCUCUUUCAAAUGAGCAGUAGCAUUAUUUGAUUCCUCUUUUGCAACAGCUGAUUGACUAAUUAAGAAGCAAUCAAGCAGAAGAAACAAAGAAACAUAAAGGCAGAUAUAUGGGGUGGGGGGAGUUUAAUCUCAGCCGGCUACCCUCAACCUCAAGUUCAAUUGUCGCAGUCCAGUCUCAUCUCUGACUCGGUCACUGAAUUCUUCUCUCCAGACGGCACACCAGGACAAGGAAGCAUGCAAUCAAACAAUUAUUUUCCAUAAAGAAGAAGAAAACAAACCUACUCUUAAUUCAAUAAUUCUAAAGAUAGUUCAGCCAACUGGUUAAUCAACUUCGUGCAUUUUCUCAGACAUGAAACAGGAUACAGCUUGCAUGCAAACUGGCUUGGCAGAGGAUAUUGUUUUAUGAAGUAAAACAAGUAGGAUGGCCUGUUUCCUCUAGCGGAGAUCAUUUCUGCUUUUCUUCUUGAUGACAAAAAGAGGGGGCAGAGGCGACCAGCAAUAGCUCCCAUGGUUGUAGACAGGGAAACAAAGGGAGAAUCAGAAAAGUACCGAAUUUUAUUUAUUUAGCAAGUAAACUUCAACAAAGAACAAAAUACGACUUUGGCAAAUUUGUCCAUGCAUACAAAUUUUCUAAUAUUACAAGAUUAGGAGCUUGAAAACGAUCCAUAAUAGUCAUAAUUUCUUAAUCUGUUACUUCAGUAUAUCGUUCAAUUUUUUAAACGAGACAUCAUAAAUAUUUCUACUACAUUAAGUUUUUAUGUUUCUUAAUAGUUCCAUUGAGCUCUAAACAGCCUUUCAAUUGACGGUCUUGUGAAUCAUUAAUUUCUUUGGUUUUAAAUUCAAUGAAUCAUACAAAAUACAGAAGCCGAUCAUGAUGAACUAGAAAAAGCCAUCAACCUUGGAUGUCAUCCCCCUCGUUUAUUUUCAACCGAAGAUAAUGACCAGUUCUUUUUGAAGAAAGAGGUAAUCCCUCGGACUUUAUCAAAGUAUCUAAUAGCUAGUUUGGGAGGAUGGAAAUGAAAAGAAAAGAAGAGAAAUGAUAAUUUAGAAAAGAAAAGAAAGGAUCAAAGUUUCUAUCUAAGUUGUUUGGGAGUUUUAAAAAAGAAAAGAAAGUGAGUAAUUUUCCUUUGUUUGGGAGUUGAAUGCAAAGGAAAGGAAAAGAUACUUAAACAAAUUAUUUUAUAAAUAUGCCCUUUCUAUAAACAAAUGUGAGAGGGAUUCAUCAGGUAUUAAAAUGUUUUGUAUAGGAUUUUAAGGGUAAUUUGGUCAUAUUAAAAAAUUUACUUAAACUUCUGUCCGUUCCUUCCCUUUCCGCCCAAUGUUGGGCGGAAAGUUUUCCAAAAGAUGUAGGGCGGUGGAAUCUUUUCUAUUCUUUUCUUUUCCUUCUCAUUUUAACUCCCAAACAAUGGAAAAACUUUCUUAUCUCUUCAAAACCUUUCUUUUCUUUUCAUUUCUAUCCUCCCAAACUAGCUAUAAGUCUCUCUAUUAAUUAACAGUUUGGGCGCCUACCAGGCCCUCGUUAGUAGGGUUUGAAGGGUUUGAGGUGUUAAUUUCUUUAAAAAGUCAUUAAUUAAUUAAAAGCACAUACUCCUUCCGUCGCUCCCAUUUGAGGUGUUAAUUUCUUUAAAAAGUAUAGGUAAUUUGAGAAGGAAAGUGUCUAAAGACAGAGGAUUAUAUUAAUUGUGAAUGUGUAUUAAUAUAGUAAGUUAGGUGUCAUUGAUUAAUUAAAAAGCACAUGCUUCUUCUGUACAGUCCAAAUUACAGUUCACUUUCUAAUUGAAGAAUAUAAUUAACUUAUAAUUUCUCUAAAAUAACCUAUUUUGUUAUCAAUGACUAUAACCUAUCUUAUUUAUUAAUUGUUUGGAUUCAUGCCUUGAACCGUACAACUUUUCGUAGUACAAUUGUUGUAAUUAAUGUAAAAGUAUAGUAAUUAGUUAUACUCCUAAUAUUAAUGUAAGGGUAUUUUAAGAAAAUAGUAGGUUAGAUUUACUCUUCCGACAAAGUUAACUAAAUUUUCUUAAAUUAUGUUAAAAAAAAUAAAAUUAUCAAAGUGGGACAAAAAGAGCAUUUAUUUUGGUUGCCAAAUGACUAUGAACCACGCAACUUUCACCCCAAAACUUCUCUAUCUCCCCUAUUCAGUAAUUCUUGUAAGGGAAAUUUGCCAAAGUGGUCCCUAACAUUUAUCAAAAACACUUUUUUAUUCCUUUACAUAUAAAAUCAGCCAGAAUGGUCCUUCACAUUUAAAUUGUGAGCCAAUGUAGUCCUAUUGCUCGUUUUUGCUCAUUUCUCCGGCUAAAAAUAGCACGCCCCUCUCACAUGGUCGUAUUUUUAGGGGCAAAAUCGGAAACACAUUUCAUUACCCGUUGAAAGUAAAAGGAAUAGACAACCACCAAAAUACACAUUUCACCUUUGGCUCUCAAAGUUUCAAGAAACCCUAAAUUGCAUCCCCGAAUUAACAAGCAUUACUUGGAAAUGUACUGCUGAUGAUGACGACGGCAAACCUGUAAGGUGUGAUUGAGAAAUAAUCAAAAAUUUGGCCAGAAAUUCGUGAAGAAAAUAAAAAAGAUGCAGAACGAAUCGGGAAAUGGGACUUCACAAUGGGUUUCUUGAAACUGCUGUUGGCUGUUGAAUAAGUAUGUGUAUUUAGCUCGAAUCUCAUUUUUCAGCAUUCCACUGCUAUUGGCGUUUGCUAAAUUCUGAUUUUUUUUCGAAGGAUCUUUUAGUUUCAUGCCCUUUUAUAUAUAUAUAUAUCUAGCAGCAGAAGAGAUGUCUGUGGCGGCUUCGGCUGCUGCUGCUGCUGUUGGGGCUGGAGCGGUCGCCUUGUUCAGACUAAAAGGUUGCCUUCUUCCCCCUCCACCUCCUCCUGUUCUUGUCUUCUACCGAGCUUUUGCACCAUUUCCAUACCGAUACCACUUCGCUUCUUAUUCUACUUCUACUUUGCUUUCACAAGAAGCAGCAGCUGCUGCUUCUCAUCUUCCACGCUCACAUGCCGCCAAUACCUCCUCCAGUGUGGUGGAAAUUCUUGAACAGAAGGGCCUGCUGGAAUCUCUCACCAGCGAUAGUCUCAGGUCCAUCUGCUCCUCCUUUGCCCCUAACCAACCACCUCUUCGAGUCUACUGUGGUUUCAACCCCACCGUCGACAGCCUCCACCUCGGCAAUCUCCUUGGCAUUAUUGUUCUCUCUUGGUUCCUUCGCUGCGGUCACCGUGCUGUUGCCCUCAUUGGGGGAGCCACCGGCCGCAUAGGUGACCCUUCUGGCAAGAGUUCCGAAAGGCCUGAACUUGACCUUGAAACCCUCCAGAAGAACAUUUCUGGGAUUUUCGCCACCAUUCGGGGAUGCAAUUUAGGGUUUCUUGAAACUUUGAGAUCCAAAAGUGAAAUGUGUAUUUUGGUGGUUGUCCAUUCCUUUUACUUUCAACGGGUAAUGAAAUGUGUUUCCGGUUUUGCCCCUAAAAAUACGACCAUGUGAGAGGGGCGUGCUAUUUUUAGUCGGAGAAAUGAGCAAAAACGAGCAAUAGGACCACAUUGGCUCACAAUUUAAAUGUGAAGGACCAUUCUGGCUGAUUUUAUAUGUAAAGGACUAAAAAAGUAUUUUUGGUAAAUAUUAGGGACCAAUUUGAUAAAUUUCCCUUCUUGUAAAAACAAAGACAGAGUUACAUCCUCUGCAACACUUGCACGCAUGAUGGCUUCACAGGCAUUCAAAAGAUAGUGAUGGAAAUUGUAUAGAUUGUUUCAAAAGGAAACUCAUAAUGGAGAAAAAAAAAUUCAGAAUUACAGAUAUCCUGAGGUCUGUAGAUCACCGGUUAACUCCACCAAAAGGUAAAUGAUGAGGCAUUAGAGAUAUAAAUAAUAAAUGAGUACUGCUACAACAGCUGUUCGUCGUCAGCUUCCGUUGUUUUUUGUGACAAGGUAACCUAAGAUGAAUCCGAAAGAGCCAAGACAAGCUAACGUAAGCCCAGGCCCAGCCUACUCGAAUCAUAAUGGAGUUUGGGUUGCCGCCGUUUGGGGUUGGACCGUCGCAGGAUUUUGAAGAUUGAUUCCACGGAAAAAGAGUACGUACUUGUUCUUUAAACUUGAUGAAGCCAGAGACUUGGGCCUUAGAAUGCGAUAUUUAACAUCACAAGUGCGGAUCCUUUAUUCUUGUCUUUUACUUUCUCUGGACCAAACGUGUGCUCAUAGUUAAACACUUUUCCACCAGCAAAAGAAUUUGUCAAAAUAAAAUAGAAAAACCAGAUAAUGCUAUUUAUAAAUCGAUCAAUCUAAAAGACAAAACCUCAGCCUUAUGCUACAAUUAAGGUCAAUUUCAUGUUAGCUCCGCUAGAUUAAGCUUUUAUUAUUAAUUAUUAUUAUCAUUAUUAUAUCACAUGUGAUGUAACCCACAAUUAUGAGAUCAAUACAACAAAAUUACAACUAACCCAUGCAAAUUAUAGCUCCUUCAACAUACAAGUCAACUAACCUCCAUUUGCUCAAAAAGGGCAAAAAAAAUCCAUUACUAGUAAGACAACUACUACUAGCAUAAGUUAGAAAAAAACUCGCAAGUUUUGAGACUCGAACCGGAAUCUUUUAGAUUUUGAGGUCCUAAUUUUGAUAUGUAUUCUUGGAGAAGUAACUUAUACUACAUGAUAACCAACAGAAUUGAGGUCAAACGUAUGGAAACAUCGAAAUCAUGAGAUUGGGAUUUUCCCUAAUUUGGAUCGAAUUGCCCAGUUCGUGCUCAAGAAGCUUCAUUUCGCAAGUUAAGACUAAUCCUUUCGUGUUGUACACUUUGGUGCAAUUUGAAACUUAUCAACAAUGACGAGUGAAUUGACUUUAUAAGUUGCAACUCCUUCAACCUUCUUCUGACAAAGACCAUCUUCAUAUGUGGGCUUAAAGAAGCUGAUGUAGGACUAGGAUGUGUAAAAUAAUCUGUACCACGUAGCAUUUCCCAUUUCUUGUAUUUGGAUUUAAUGUAUUUCAUACUCAUAAAAUGAUUUUGUUUGGUGUUGGACGGUAUAAUUCAUAAUUUGAAUUUUUCAACAAGUUUAAUAAAAUAUGUACACUAGUUUUCAAAUGCAUUCCAAUUCCUAUCCAACUUAACAAGGGGAUGAUGUAUGUAUUACCAUCACGUUUGAUUCCAAAUGCUUAGGAUACCUGCUUCGGUUUUCUUGUUAAGCCAAUAAGCCAAAGACCUUGAGCAUAUCUGCCGACACAGAUUUGGACAAGCCAUCAUCAUUCCGAAGUUCAGACUUCAGACAUGAAAAACUCAACAUCUAAAUGUAACUCUUACCCUCUUAGACAAGUGUCAUACAUGUCUGUCUUUGAUGUGGGUAGUUAUGAGCUAAUGGCAGAUGUACCGAAUCUGAUGUACUGAAUUUUUAUCCCCCAUUUUCCACUAUUUUCUUGUUUGAAAAAUACGUUUGGAUGGAUUCGACUCCGAUCAUCAUUAUGAACCAGAGCAUGUCUAGAUGAGAUUAUAAGUCGCUUAUAAGGGCUCUUACAUAUCGCUUAUUAAUACAAUUGUCACUAUUGUUAUUAUUAUUAUAAAACCCGAUAAGGAUAUGCAACGAAUUCGAAUUCAACAAUUCGGAAGUUUGAAUUAGGAAUUUUUCGAAAAUUUGGCAGCAGAAUUACCGAUCGAAUUCGAUUUCGAAUUCACCAGUUCCGAAUUCGAUUUUGAUUCAGUAAAUUCGAAAUUCACCGAAUUCGGAAACCCUUUUUCCCUUUUUUUUUUCCUUUUUUGUUAGAUGUAUAUAAUAUAAAUUUUAUAUUACAUAUAUUAUAAAAAAUAUUAUUAUUAUAUAUAAUAUAUAUUAUAAAACGAAAUUGAAAUCGGAAAUUUCAAUUUCGAUUUCCGAUUUCGAAAUAUGAAUUCGAAAUCGAAAAUUUCGAUUUAAAAAACUCUAUUACCGAAUUCGAACCAAAUUCGCAUAAUUCGAAAUCAGAAAUUCCAAUUUAAGUGUCGAAUUCCGAAUUACCAAUUUUGAAAAAUUCAAAUUCAAUUCGAAUUCGAUCGGUAAAUCAAAAUUUUUCGAUUUUUCACACUCCCAGAACUCGAUGCCUAGUGCUUCUUAGUCCUCUUUUGUUUUUUUGGGGGGUGGGGGGGGGUGUAUAAUUUUUGACAACACAUCUUUCUCUACCAAGAUUUUUAUUAGAUUAACGAACCUUUGAUAGUUCAAGUGGUUAAGUGGGUGCUAAGCAUGUUACUCUUUGCAUUGCAGCUAGAAAUAGUUAUAAAGUCCUUGUACGCUUACUAAGGUGAAAAUACAGGUCUCUUCAAAUAACACAAUUCUGAUGAUUUCUUCGCUGCGGAAUUCAAUCAAGGGCCGCCCUGCCAGUACAAGAGGUCCCCAAAAUAAAUUCCUGUUUGGAUGCAUCGUGUAUCAUCUUGGGCAGGUGUGGAAUAAACUAGAGAUACAAGACUAACAAAAUUAUGGAAACAUCUACGUUCAAAUUUAUGACUACCACAAUUUCAACGAUUGCUGUAAAAAUCACAUUCACAAUCAAUUGACUUAACCAUUCAUAAGUUAGUCCCAACAUCAUCUUUAAUGAGCCAUGCAUACACCUCAAAAAAAAAGUCCCUAGUGACUGCUGUACUGUGGGCAACCUACAACAUUUUGCAGACUGCAAUUGGUGAGGAUGUCAGAGAAUUGGAAGGAAAAUCCAGGUUCAUCUCAUUUCCUGUAGUAAUAUGGUGGAAAUUUCAAAGAUGUUAGUUUUUUUUUUCUCACAAAUGAUCAAGAACACACGCACACAGUUAGAUAACACUCGGAGAACACAAAAGAUGUUAGAUUAACACGAAAGAUGUUAGUUAUUCUCACAUCUUUUAUCUCCACUCUCUGACUUUCAAAUAAAGAAAAAACCUUCUCCUUCCUUGCAAAGGAGGCUUGAAACCCUUUCAGGAUUGAGUUGCUUAGCAUACAGCACAAAAAUUAUCAUAAGCUAUUGUAACAUUCUUUGGUCAGGUAGGACUCUAGUGUCAGAAUUUGGUAGCUGUGCUUCAAACGAGUUUGAAAGUCUACUGUUCAUGGCAGUCAUAGUAAUACACAAUCUUUAACUAAUCUAAAAACCAUAAGUCCUUUUAUCAAGCAAAUAGUAGUGCUUUGAAAGUAACAGGUUUCAAAAUAUAUGAGAAUCCUAUCAAACUUGCUCCUGGGGAUACUUAUCGUCAAAUCCAAUUCAACACUCCAAACUUAAACCUAAAAGGACGAUAUAGAAGAAAGAAACAAUAAUAGUCUUUUAACUUGACUGACCCAAUAAUUUACGUUGGCCUACACGGAUGUCUUCUUUCAAUCCUAACAUAGGGAGUAAAUAAGCUUGUCCCCAGCUCCCAAUUAAAUGUAAACAACCAACAACAAUUACAGAUGCAUUUGUAUCAGGGUCCCAGUUCCAGUGGCUCAUAAUUGCAUCUGGUCGGUGUUGCUCACUUCUCUGGCACUAAAGAGUGACAGGCAGAUAACAAGACCAGGAAAGUUCUCAAGGGCUUGCCUCAUAUGCAGGCACGAAGGCCAUACCCUAUAGGAGGACGAGUACUCCCCAAAUUAGCUGUAGGUAAAAAAUUGAUCUCCUGUACUUGAAAUGAUAAGUUCGCCUAGUACAGUGCGUUGAAGACCGAAUAUGGGUUAUAUCCCUCGGCCAAGAACACUCACAAAGUGGUCCUGAUGACCUUAUGGGACAGGAACAAACACACAAACAACCCCCACCCAAAAACACCAAAAACAAAAGAUUUGAGACCAUAAACAUGCCCUUGAUUCCUGCUUCCUAAUCAUGCUCAAGACGACUCUUUCUACAUCUUUAAGACAGAAAUUUUGACAUGAAAAGUGAUAUGAGAUUUUGAUCAAAACAUCACAUGACGAGAAAGCACUAGGGAAUCAGAUCACUAUCAUAAACCUCAAAAUUUUUUUACAAGACUGAUGAUCAAGUACAAGACUGAACUAAGCGUGACAAACUCGUGCUAAUUACAUGUGGCUGUUUGGAAAAAUGGUAUAACUGAGGGUUUAAUUGAAUAAAUAGAAACCCUAUAUACUAAUGUAUAAUUUACAAGAACAGAAAGUUUACAGGUCCCUUCUGCACAAUGGACAAGAUCCAUGCCUCACCAACCAUGUGUCGAUGCAUGGUAGGUGGAACAUGUGGUGACAAUGAGGUAAACUUCUAACAGUCUCCCCAAUCUGAAAGUCCUGCACAGAGAAACAACCAAUACAUUAGAUGAGAAUUUGCAAGCAUUCUGGACUAAUAAUCAAAUGGCAUAAUACAAAGAGUAACUUGUAAAAGUACCUGAAGGCAGACGGAACAAGAAACUCGCUCGCCAGAAUCAUCGACAUUGUUAUCGUCCGUGAUCACAAUCUUUGGUAUCUUUUCAACAGAAUCUCCAGGCAAACCCUUGGCACCCCCAGUGUCAAAUAUGUUGGGGACCUCUUCAAAUGUCGUUUCAACAGCUCCCAUCUGAUUCAUCAGCAAAACUAUAAGCAAACGAAAAAAUUAAAAAGAACAUAAGAUUUUCUGAGUAACAGGAAUUUGCUCUUGCCUGACUUUGCACUGCACUUAACAUAGCAGGACCAAUCCGCUCACGAACAAGUCUGCCGCUUAACAGGCUCGCAAUGACAUCGAUCUGAUGAAAAAAUUCAUGAUAUUUACACAUAUUAGGCACACAUAUUUUCAAUGAAUAAGAUGACUGAGUCGCUAAUGAAGUCACAAUUGCAAUACAUUUGCAGAAUUAAGGACACCAAUUAAGAUGUUCAGAUUAUGAGAAAAUAUAGAACUUUGCUCACCAAAUAAAGGAGGCACCCAAUGCCAGAUUCAUCAGACUGCCAUAGGAGAAGGGAUGACUCGAAGACCUCAAUGGAGAAAACAGCUCCAGAUAUUGCACCAACUGCAGCCCCUCUAACAAAUCCACUUUCAGUCUCUUGGCCUAUCAAGGCUCCAGUCAUAGCUCCUAAUAAAGUACCCACUGCAUAACCAAAAGCAAGUUAAUUUCCCCUUCAGUUUUCCUUUAACCAACCAAAUAACAGAGUUCCACAGGCCAAGGAUUACCUAAACCUAUUUCAUUUUGUAAUACAUACAUAAUAUACAUAUAUGAAUUUCUGACAGGUUGAAGCCCAAAACCCCUGCCUAUUUGGGGAAUUUAAGAGAGAGAGAAAUUUAGAUGAAAAACCGUCUACAGCAAAAUGCUCAAGAAGAUUUCAGAAUGAUUCCAAAGAUUCUCGCUUUUCGUGCAAGUAUCAAAUGAUCUAAAGACAAUACCGCAAUACACCAAUUUUGGCAACAUUAUGAACUAUCAGUCGCGAGAUCUCAGACAAAACUAAAGAUGAGAGAAAAGGAGGAGGUUAGUAAAAUUCUCUCUUUUUUCGAUAAAUAAAUAUGGGCAAAUUCUACAAGCUAAUUUGCACACAACAUCAUUUGAAAAAUCGACAACAUCCCAGAUCGCAUAUGUGCAAAUUCACAUCAGAUAACACAAGUAAAUCUAGAAUCAAUGGCCAUUUGACCACAAAAUUGCAAACUUUAAGAGAAACAGUGCAGGGUAGAGGGCAAGCGGGAUAAUUAUAAUGAAACAAUUAAAUUAAAAGGAAAACUAAAGGAUUAACACUCACCUAGUGCAAAGAAAAAGGUGAAGAUUGCAGAGAAUACAUUUCCAAUAAUAGCAGAAACUGCAAAGCUGAAAUAUUGUUUAACUUUAUCGGCCAAAUUCCUGAAUGAAAAUGAGAAAGAAGAAGAAGAAGGCAAAGAAUGAGAUGGAUAAGCAUAAAACUCCAUGGAUUCUGUCUCCAAUCUCAAGAAUUUAGAAAAGGGUUUUUUUUUUUUUUUUUAUUGGGAAGAAAAAGAGGAUUUUGGUUCAGGUCUAUAACCUAUAAGGAACCAGCUACAUACAGAAAUAUCUAAGCUUAAUUAUGUACGUGUUGUUGGACAUAUAUAGGGCAUAGGGUAAGACUAAGAGGAGAGGGGGUCCAUAUGGUGGCGUUUUCGUAAUAUUGUCCUUAGUCCUUAAGAGAAGAUAAAAGGAAACCACAUAAACCAACUGGGCUUUUCUUCUAUUGUUAAUUUUCGCAGAAAUCAGUAGUGUGUAAAUAGAGGAUUUAUAACUUUUUCUUCUUCUUGUCCUGUGGGACUUGUGGAUUCCCUUCUUUAUUUCAAUAUUUCACAGGCUUUUUCUUGUUUCUUUUACUUCUUGUUUUCCUUUGUGUGAAAAUUAUGCCAUCUAGUAUGUACAAUUUACAGCAGUGAUUCCUAAAUAAAGAUUGUCACUAUUCGGUAAAUUUUAUUUUACUUUUUUUUUUUUUUAUCAAUACAAGGGAUAUCCCAAUUUAUGCUGCUGGACUAAUACCCUAUGACUGUGCACCCUUUCAAGAAGACACAACCAGUAAAAAGGGGCUCGAACACACGAUGAUUAGAUUCGUAACUGCUAACCUGCGGCCAACCCUGGUGGCUGUUCGGUGAAUUUCAUCUGACUACUUAGGUUCGUAAAUCAGUUUUGUUGUUGUGCUUCUUUUUGCCGUUGAAUAAUUAUAGCAUGUAUGAUUCCCUAGUACACGUUGCUCCGCUACGUUUUCAGAGGCACGAGAAAGCGAAGCCUCCCUUUGACAAAACUGAGCGUGUUUGUUUGGUUUGGGGUUAAAUGGUCCAACAAAUGAUCACAUGCCGAGUCUAACACUCGUUUUCCCUCAAUCCAAAAGCAAUGGGAAAAAAAGAAAAUUAAAAAGAAAAUAAAAAGAGAGAAUGAUAUAUUUUCAAUUUUCAUUUUCCUUUAAUUUUCUAGUUGCCUCUUCUACCAUUUUUUAUCCUCCUUUGUUCUUUUUUACUGUAAAGAAAAACUUUUCUUAUUUUUUUGGUGUCAAAACUAGCUUUGGGAACAAGUUUUUGUGAGGGUUUGCUAAAUUAUGCUAUAUUUGACAAUGAGACGUGACUUAAUUCAUAAGACGAUUUACCGGUGAUCAAUAGAUUGCGGGUUCGAAUUAUCAAAGGAAUAGGUGAAGAAUUAUUCCUGAUCCUUUUUAAUAAAAAAAAUUACUACUACAACAGAUCCUGUUUUCUUUUUCUUGUCGAGAACAGCUCAAGGGGCUGGUUCGAAUUUAUUCCUCUGUCAGCUUCAAGUUCAUUUUUUUCCAAAUUUUGUUGUUGAGGUGGUGGGGGUGGACUUUCAUCUCCAAGUCCAUUCAUAGUUCCCUUCUACCCUUUAUUCCAUUCUCAUUUAGUUAGAAUCAUGAAUAUACAUUUUUGCCUCAUUUUUGUUUAUUGUGUUGACAUUAGGUGAUUAUAAAAAACAUUUCGUAGCAGAUAAAAGUUUGUAUCAAAAACCAAUAUCAAAAUAGUACAAUAUGCCCUAAAACAUUUUCAUUAAAAUUUGUAUCCCGAAGACAAAAAGAAAUGUGUGGAAAAAGUCUUGCUGAUAUAUAAAAAUAUAUAUAUAUAUAUAAUUCUACAAAACUAUAAUCAUGUACUAAUAAUUAUUUCAAAGCUUAACAAUACUAUUUAUUUAAUCCCAAGGCUCCAUUAUAUGAGGCUGACUACAAUGGAAGGGUCACCAUCUCUGCCGUCUCAGCUCAGCUCUUAAUUAAAGUGCAGAGAGGUUUUCGCACUGUUUCUUAAACACCUUUUCUCUUUCCCCGCCAGUGGGCUUGCUGCAAUAUCACAGAAUUCACAGGCCCUAUUCCUUUUUCUUUUUCUUUUUCUUUUUUUUUUUAAUACUGUCCGAACAGAAAUUGCAGAUGCGCGUAUUUGCAGUCGAAUUUAUUAUCAAGUGUUAAUGCCAUUAGUAGCAAUUAAUCACUUUCAACUGUGAUAGUUCAAAGAAAGUUCCUUCUGAAGUGGACCCAAAGGGCCAAAUCUCAAAAUUAAAGUUUAAGCAUGACAUCUACCAAAUUUUAGCGAGGGCAAGGACUUAAAUCGCCGGCCACGAUUUUAUUUGAGAGAUUUUGUUGAGAAACGUACUGAUUAGAGCUUCUUCUCAGAGACGUACCCUCGCCUAGCUUUGUCUCUUAAUUACGCGUUUUAAUAGUAGAUGAUUGAAUCGGUAAUUCUCUGUUUCAAGAAUACUCUUUGAUAUUUUGUAUUCAGAUUAAUACACUAUUUUUUAGGCCAGAAUAUUCCCCACAACUAAAGAAAUGGAUCUGUCUAAUAGGUGUCCAUUACACACACCGGUUAAGAUGUAAUUCAGGUAUUAAAUUUUUCAAAAAAACUAGCAUUAAUUAGAAAAAGUGCGUAAAUACAAAUAAGUGUAAUAAUUGUUUAAGUAUGUAUGUACACGGUAGUUUAGAUGGAAUUCAAGUGUGCUAACGAUGCUCAUUUGGACACAUAUACAUUUUUGGUCUUUUCAUUUAAUGUUAUGACUAUUAUUUUUGUUAUUUAAAUGUUCUGUAUUUGUAUCAUUUUAUUCUUGAGGACCCGAUGACACUCAUUAAUCACAACUUACCAUUGUAAAGAGCAAAUGCAUAUUUAAUUAUUUUUUUUAAGUACACCUAAACAAAUCAUUUAUUUUCCCCACUCAAUUAGCCGCUAUGAAAACACAAACAGCAAGAAGCUAAUUUCUGUGCGGACAACAAUACUUAAAAAGUUAAGUGGCAGCUAUUAAAAAGAUCAAUCCCAGUACAAAUGCCCUUUCUAUCGUUUAUUAUUUGCAAAGUGCGAUUAGCAGUUAACAUUCUCACUACCUCAUUUAAAGAACUUUUCUAAUAUUUUCCAUAACAUAUUUUCAAAGUGCUUUUGACAAUUUUUGACAAAAAAAAUUGAUUUACUUCUGUAGAGUACAUUAACUCUAGAACAGAGGAAUGCACUCUUUCAUAAAAAAAAAAAAAAAAAGAAUUAUUGUUAAUUAUACCAAGCAUUUAGCACCUACUGUACCUUUUGACAAUAUGAAAAAAGGAUAAAUUUUACUUUAUACCCUUGAAUUUGUAUCACUUUUCUACUUUACACCUUAAAUUUAAAUUUUGAACACACACCCUAAACUCUUAAUUUUUGGUAUUUUGCACCAUAAACUCUCAAAUUUGUCCCAUUUAAUUCCAAUGAAUGACAACUCUAGAAAAAUUAACGGCAUAAAGGACACAAUAAAUCAAUGAUAAUGUGCUGAAAGUAGUCAAAGCUCAAAAGGUGUCAAGAUAACAUAACAAAAAUAAAACAAUACAUUGUUAUUAAUGUAUAUUAUCUUGUUAAUUUUGCUAAUAAUAUUAGUAAUCGAGACCUUAUAAAUCAAUGAUAUGUACUAAAAGUGGUCAACAAAAUUAAAGGAUCGCAUUAAUUUUUAUAGCUCUUUAUCUCAUUAAUUUUGUGACCGUAGUCAUUGAUUAGAAUUAAAUUUGACCAACUUGAGAGUUUAGGGUGUAAAGUAUCCACAAUUAAGAGUUUAUGAUACAAAAUAUCUAAAAUUGAAAUUUAUGAUGUAAAGUGAUACGAGUUCAAUCAUCCAAAAUGGAAAUCGUCCAUAGGAAAAUGAUAAGCAGAAUAUUACCACAUAAAGUAGUGUGCUAUAUAUAAUAAGCUUCUUCACAGUUGCUAAAUAUAGACCCACCGAGAGAAUUAGCAUGGCUAAUUAUAAUAAGCUUUUGACCAAUACACAAUUCAUAUGACAAUGCCCAAGUUCUUUUGUUCCGUCAUUUGUACCCAUCAACCAAUUUGAUUGCUAAUGCUCAGGGUGGCUGUAAUUUAACCCGGUGUUGAUGAUGACGGGUUUUUUUCCACGACUGCACUAGGAAUAGUUGAAUGAGAAAAAAUAACGUAAAGUCUGGGAUUAGUUGAAAUGGUCUUUGUUCAGCAAUUCAUCAUUGGAAUAAUCGCAAAGGUACUUUUCGCAAGUGCAUUUGGACCAACAUUUAUAUAUUUAUUGAAAAAGAUUUGGAACAAAAACCACCACGUCUGCUCGGAAUAAAUUAGUAAUUUACGUAGAAAAUUUCAUACUACUACUAAACUUUCUUGGCGGCGCCAGAGGCUUAAAAUUUCAGAAGUCCACACCUGGCAAAUUUAUGCUUCUUUUGAAUUUAGGAAACGAAAGAAGAGCCACGACAUCCCCUCAGUGGAAAAGGAAGGACAACACCAAACCGCCUUCCCGUUUAGUUGACUUUGUUAAAAUAUUUGCGUUGCAUUCCCCGCCCUCAAAACAAUAAUAAUGCUAGCCAUUACAAAAGGAGGAGAGCCAAGAAUACAGAUGAUGCCAUGAGAAUCGAGGUAUCUUCUCAAUUGUUUCAUUUCAUCCCAAUCCAAGAAUGAAUUCCGCUUCAUUCUGCUUGCAAAAGCAAAUGCUAUUCUCCUUUUUUUUUUUUUUUUUCGAGACGAUAACUGUUCUAUAAUCUAAUCUAUCCUACAUUAGGGGGAGGGGGCGGACCUAAGGAGAUCCAAAAAUAACCCAGAAGAGGCUGAAGCAUCACCGGACCAAAUGCUAUUCUCUCAAGUAGGGAAAAGUAUAACGAAAACUCGACUCAAAGUGAAAAAAAUUUAAAGGAGGUGUCAGAGCACGUUUUUGAUCUAGUCGGAUCUGUAUGCUGUCAUUUAUACAGUUUCUUUAGACCAUCUUUUCGUAAAAUAUGAUAGAUUAAAUUAUAAGAAUGUAUGGUCGUGGCAAUAAAAAAUAUUACUUAAAUUAUACCUGUUUAUAUCAGACAUUGUGAGACCCAAGUCAAUAGAUAAAAUUCAAAUUGUCAGCCCCGUCCUUCAUAUACCGCGGUUUCACGUUAUCAAUCAAUGCAGAAUUAUAAUUGAUAAAGCUGGCAAGCAAUACUACGACCGCAUACUGAAUUACCGUUGUUCUCGAUGAAGUUUGCCUUAACAACUAAGGAAAUAGACGAAGAAAUGUCGAGAGUCGAUGGAGGCACCAUCAAAUUUCGCUGUUGGAUAGCAAUAUUGUCAUGGGUCCUUGGCAAUUGAAACUGACUGAAGAAAAUACUCAACUAACAAAAGUAACUCGGAAAAAGAAAUGAAAGAUGAAUAGCAUCUUGAUGUUAUUUCUCGGACAUUAAGGGUCCGUCUGUUUCGGAUGAAAAUGUUUUCCAGGAAAAUAUUUUCCUAAUUUCCCGUGUUUGGUUGCACAAAAGUUACUGAAAACAUUUUCCUAUGUAAAAUAUUUUCACCCAUUUUAUGGAAAACAACUUCCUUUCUAAACUUACUGAAGUUGUUUUCCGAAAUGCAUGCAUCCCGCCUGUAGUAUGUUCCAAACUUACUGAAAACAUCUUGUAGUAUGUUCUUUUUUUUUUUUUUAGUGUAAACAGGAGGAUUCGAACCCAAGACUUCUUCCUUACACUCCCUCCUCCAUACCACCCAACCCUCCCCCUAGUAUAUUCAAAAUAAAAAAAAAAACUUCAUCCUGCUCAUCCUAUGCUAGUAAUUAUGUAUAAUAGGGACAUUCUUUUCUAGAGAAACUUUCAGCAGUGAGAGUGCAAGAUAUAUGUCACAAUAAGCAUUGCAUGUGAUUGAUAUUUGACACUAAAUAGCCAGCAAUUUGUUUAUUGCUUAAGGAGAUAUUUUUUAUUCAUAUAUACAUUUCUCCAAGAUUUUUUAAAGUUAAACAAUGAGAUAAAUUUUCUUAUUUUGCAUGGGAAGAAGUAUGUAGUUAUAAUGUGUAGAAAGUAAGGAUAGAGAUAAAAGUGAAAAUAUUUCAAAAGUUAAACAAACACCAGAAAAAUGAAGUAAGAAAAUAUUUUCAAUAAGCUAACCAAACACCUGAAAAUGAUGAAAGGGAAAUGAUUUUCAUGGAAAAUUACUUCCACGGAAAGUAUUUUCCCAAGGAAAAUAUUUUACUUCCAACCAAACAGACCCUAAGUGUAAUUCAUAGUUUCCUGAGACGAGAGGCAUCGACAAAUCUCAUUAUUCCAUAGCGGAUGGAAUUCCAUUAUUUAAAAGGUUGAUGCAAAGAAGCAUUUUGUAGGUUUACAUAUGAAACUUCUAAAAAGAAUGAUUAAAACUAGAAGGUGGUAAACAAAAAAUUACCAACUAACUCGUAAAAAAUCUUGGUCGUGCCGUUUUACUUUGCUUUGUUCUUACUUCCCUUUUUUAGGCAUGAAAUUAAUUAUAUAGUACCUUAAAAUUUUGAAAGACGAGCCAAAACCAACCACCAUAGAGCCAACCCCCCAACCUCCAACCCACCACCAUCCCCAAAAAGGAAAAAUAAAAUGUUGUCGGACUCUUUCUUCUGGAGGUUACUCUUCCAACAUUAUUAUUCUCUUCAUCCAUAAGAUUCAAAAUCGAAAUCUUGAUUAAGGGGUAUCAAGCUCUUUAUUACUUGACCUAACAACUGUUAGUAAAUGUAAGUUUGCUCCAAUAUUACGAGAUCUUGAUCAGUAGAAACAAAUCCUGAACUCCUCUACUCAGCAAGAAACCAGUAGAGUCUGGAAAAUUUCCAUACUACUCGACUAACUAGUAAUUACGUACUUCUAGAUUUGGCCAAUAAACGAACUCCCCAGCCUGCUAGAUAUAUCUAAACCGGAGAGAAAUGUUUAACGAACAUGCUUUUUCUUCUACUACAAUUAAGCAGCGUAACUCCCUUCGCUACAAGCAAUAAAUCUAGCUACUUGAUUGGGCCGGAUUGCCAAUUGGCUUUCCUUUUCUUCUCCUCAGUUCCUUAUCCUUUUGGCAACCGAUCGAAUGUAUCAGCACUAGCUGGCAACAUUAUUCAUGCUCCUGUUUCAUUCGCUUCUAACUUGUGUCCCUGUAGACUGAAGUGCGAGUCAGGAUUUUCCCCAAGUAUUAAUGCCCUUGUUUUACAUGACUGGAUUAUCUUAUUUGCUACGCGAUUUCUACUUUUUGUUGACGCACUGGAUAAUGGCAGACUUAGUGUAUAAGCUUAUUGUGUCCUGUGGGUUGACAUCAAACCACACAUGGAUCGAUCUAACGUAUGAGUACCACAAAUGACUAAAAAAACUUUGGCGAUCGAGUUAGGCCGGCCACGCAAGAUACAAAAGAUUUCCCAUGAAUGAUGAUUUGCAAAACUGGGGACCAACAAGCUUAAGAAAUUGAAUAUUGUUGGCGAUCAUUACUUGUUUGGAUUACAUAUCACUUAAUUUAGUAGUCUAGUUGCAAAAGCAAGUCUUUUGUUUGUUAAUCAAGUGUCUCGACCACCUCAAAACUACACAAGCUGGAUGCCAAAUUCUUACGAGGAUCAUGUCUAAAGAAGACGUAUGCAUCAUGAGGUGAGCUGAUGUUAGAAUCUCUCAACUCGAUCUUAUAAAUACCUUUAGUUGAUCAAGUUAGCUCUAGCUAGUAGUGCCCAUGAUGAUUUAUGUUACCUAAUAUAUGACUUAACCAAAUUUGAUUGCUUAAAUGGCUUUCCUUUGCUUAUUAUACUACCUAAUCUCAACGCUCACACAGUAUUUAAAUGGAGUAGCGUGCAUGUGUUCUGCCUCAAAAGCGAAACCCGGAAUCCGUUUUCCUCUUAUUUUUUUCAAGAAAUUAUAGAAAAUCAUGUUACCAAUAAUUGAAAAGAAAACCACAUCAAAUCAACCCGUCUUAUUACCUCUAGAAACCGCAUAAAGCAUAAUAAUUUCCACAUUCCCGUGAAAAAACUUCUGUUCUUAGUCAAAUAAUUGGAAAUGCACUUAAGAAGAGACGAGAAAGGGGGAGAAAAUGUGAGCGAGAAUAAUUCAAGUCAAGGAUAUUUCUUUAUUAAUUUCACAACUCGUCAUUGUUACAUGUUGUAUAAUAAUUUACUGGGCUUUGGCUGUACAUCGAUGUUCAAGUACCACCUACUCAAGAAGGGCUAGGGAGAUUUUUUUUUUUUUUUUUUGUCAAAACGAUAACAAGCAAGAAGGACUAGGGAGAUGGUUUAUCAAGAUCAUUCAAUCCUUGGGUACAAAUUUGGAACGGGAACCCGUCAGCAUCAUGGAUUCUUGUAUGAGGUGAUGUUUUUGCUCCCAAAUAUAGACGCGACAGUACUGUUAAAUUCCCACGGAGUUAAAAUGUUAAAUCAAGAGAAUUAUUCAGGAGACCAUCCUACCAACAACAUAUAUUUUAAGUACAUAAUCUGUUCAAAAAGGACAAAAUAAAUAAUGGAAUAGGUGUAAUAUGGCCCAGGAUAUCAUUGGUGCAUAUCUUAAUAUAAUAUGAUGCAAAUUCUUCAUUAUUUCCUCGUUCAAGACUUCCACACAAUAUCUUUGCCAUGUUAAUCCACGACAACCCAUUGUGUACAACAAUGAUAAAAGCUAAUGUCUAAUAAUUCUAUCACGUUCGUGAAGUAUCCAAGAAGUGUGUUUGGGUGAUGCUUUCUGCAUACACCAUUUGCAAGAUUGUAGUAGUAUUAAUUAUUAUUAUUAGUUUUUGGGUUCUUGAAUGUCUAGAGGGCCAUCCAUCGAACUGGUAAUAUUUUUUUCUGCUAAGAGUUUUAUAAGGAACCUGGAAAAGAAAAGGUAAACCAACUAAAUAAAACAGCCCGUUGUUUAAUCACUUUUUAGGCUAGAUUUCAAAUCAAGUUUUUUAGUUGAAUAAACCCAAGGCUGGUAGAGAGACAAAUCUAGAAGUAAAUCCGUGGCAAGUAGUUUCCAGAUCAGUAGAUAUUACCUCAAGAGCAGGCAAAGUUUGAUGCAUUAAGUCCACGGAUUAUGUCACAUUAUGGAUUGGCAGACGAUGUCUAGAAAUCUCUAUAAUGGCAGUAUUUAUGGACAUGAAAAUUCUUCCUCUAAAGACAUUGCAUUGGAGUAUAAUAUGUCAUAUGACUCUUAGUUAUCGUAUGCAGUUAAUUAACUUAACCACCAUUAGUAAUCCAGUCCGGUUCAUGAAGUCAGGCACCAAAACUCCACAAGCAUUUAUGAGAAUAUAUAUAUAUAUUUCAAAAAGUAAAAAAGUGACUAAACAGAUGUUCCUAAUUAAAACCAAAUGGUCCUAAAACAAUUCCCUAUAUUGAUUUCUCACCACUCAGGAGUACGUACUAACCAAUAUUGAUUUCUGAUAGAAUGGUAAUUGUUUGUGGUUAGGAUUAUCAAAAAUCUCUAUUUGGUAGCUGCAGCUUGGAAAUCACGACGGGGCUUUUAGCUUUAGGAAGACAAAGAACUGUGUUUGUACUUUAGUCGUGACUCAUGAGGCACCAACAAAGUCAAAAAUCAAGUAUUAGUUGUACUACCUUUUCUUGUGUCGAAAUACAUUUUACUCAAUUCUUUCCCUGAGAUUGACAUGGGUGAUUCUGCAAUAUGUUCUUCAGCAACCCCAUGAAGUCGUGGGCUUCAAUGGCUCAGGACGGUCCAUACAAAAAUUGCAUUGCGGUAAAUAUCCGUCCAUGUACGAGCUUCGGAAAAAUGGUUUCUUAUAAGAUCUCUUGAUAUAUGGUCGAAAUCUUGAUGAUAUUAAAAGGUUUUCUUGAGCAAUGAUAACGUAACAGUCCAAACGCUGUUAUUGAUGAUGAUAUCUCAAAAACUAGCUUCAACAACCAAACGCAGGAAGCCAGGAGAGGGAUCAGAUUUCUGAACCACAAUAUAGUUAAGGAUCCGGGGAAAGCAAUGGUGGAAACCCUGUUUUACUAACUAACGUAUUUGGUCUCCAACUCUGAGAAUAUCUUGUGUUUGCACAUGUUCAUGCAGUUAAAUUCUCUACUAAGUAAAAGAUUUUCUAAGCAAUCAGCUGAUUAAGUAAAAGAUUUUCCAAGCAAUCAGGUGAAAUAACUAAUCCAGUAAGCAUUCAUGUCAAAUCCCACACAAACCUAACAUCAUUACACGUGAUUCAUUUGACAAAUUGAUCCACAUUUGAGGAGGUUAUACUGUGACCAAUUGCUAAGUCAAUAAUGAAUUUAUGAAUCUGAUGGACCAGUAAAAUUAUUGUUUUCUUGAAAAUUAAGAACACACACACACUGGUAAUAGACAGGCAUUAAAGCAAUCCUUGAAUGAAUUAUCUGCUCAUUUAGUUGCAAAAGCAAGUGGAGCUAAACAUGUGAAAGAAAAAUAUCCAGAAUAAUUCAAGAAUGGUAGACUUUAGAUAUGAAAAAUGUAAGGUGACCAUGUACUAAAAUAAUCUGCAGCAGAAGAAGAGCAUGCACCAUGAGGGUAUUUGAUAUUAGAAAUUCAACUUGAUCGAUCUUAGUUCCCCUUUUCUUCCGAAAUUGACUCCACUACGCAUGAAUGGUCUCUGUCUCCUAAUAUAUUAGCUCAACCCAAAUUUGAUUGCUUAAACCACCUAAUCUCAACCUCCACACUUUAUUUUAAUGAUGGAAAUGUUAUUAAUAUUAAUAAUCCAAAACAAGAUCAAUUCAACCGGUCUCAUCAUUCUACUUAUCUCCAGAAACCGAAUAGACGACCAUCUUUCCCCCCCCCCUUUUUUUUUAAAUAGGGAUGCCAUCCCUUAAUUUAUUUAUAAUCGAAAAGAGUACAUCGAAUUAGAGGAGGGCCAAACCUGACCUCUGUUAAGUAAAAAGAGACAACUAAGGAUGAACAAUAAUACGCACAUAUGGAAAAAUCUGCGUACCUAAACACAUAACAGAUGAAGCGAACGAAAUCAUCCACAUGAGGGUGCCCCACAUUUGUGGGAUUGUGAGUGAGCAUGGGAAUUUGGUUUAACAUCUUGACAUACGUGAGCAUGCCAUCUUUCCUAUUUGACAUUUCUCUCGCCUGAUAAAAAUGAAAUAACUUCUGUUCAAAGACAAAUUAACGUUAUGCAGUAUGUAGAAGAGAUGAGAAAAUGGGAUCAAAACUGAAUCUCCCAAAUUGAAGACAAGAAUAUUUCUUUCUUACCCAAGUUGUCUAAUUAUCUUUGUUAUGUUUUGUCGCACAAUAUAGUCAAGAUAGAUCAAGAAUUCGCCAUUAUGGACAUGUUCAACAGUUCAAGUGCUCGUCAAGAAGGCAUGGAGUUACAAAAUUUAAGCCAAAAUCGUCACUAUGAUACGGAAUCUUCUAUGAGGUGAUGAAUUUGUUGCAUUGGGUUGAGAUGUUAAAUCACGAGAAUUAUUAGGACACUCUACCAUUCUUUUAGACAACAUUAAAUGUUGUAACUAGUCAGUUCAAGAAAGGCCAGAAAAGGAAAACUAAAAUCAGAUUUGUUCAAAAAAUUAACCUUAAUACUGUGUCAAUAUACAUAGACUCUAUUCCACAAAAUGCAUAUUGUAUUAAUGAUCAUUAGCAAUAACCUAUGUUAUCCGGAGUCAGGCACUAAAGUCCCGCCAGCCAACAUAGCCACUCUAAUGCAAAAACAUGGGUAUGGCAAGGCAAGGUGAAGAGUCCGAGUAACAUAUAUAGGCAAUGACAAAGAUUAAUGUUUCACACUUCCAAUUUCGUGAAGCGUCCUAACCUUCCAUUAUCAACCGACCGGGAAGUGUACUGUGAUGAUGAUUUUAUUUUUUCUGAUCACUUGAUUUGCAAAAUUUCCAUCAAGUUGUCUUUUCCUUUUGAAAAUUUAGAGGGGAGGAAAUCUUCUUAUUUGCUAUGCCAAGAGUUUUACAAGGAACCAUGACAAGAAAAAGUAAAUAAAUUAAACAAAAAGCAUCAACUCCUUUUAAUUACUUUUAGGUGACAUUUCAACUCACGUUUAUGGUUGAAGAUACGCAAAUUAAGUUGGUGGAUAUACAAAUCUGGAAACCAUGCCAUGCACACGUCCCCACCGAAAGAAAGUAAACCAUAUAUCUCCAGAUUAGUACAUUACCUCAACAACAUGCAAACUACUAAUUUCUUGAAAAGCGAAAGAGGCCUAUCCCAAAAAAGGGAAAGAAACAAGAGGGCCCUCCCUUGUUUUUUUUGAAGAAAAUACUACCCUCAGCAAUAUGUUCGAAAAGGAUCAAGAAAAUAAAAUAUAGAAACUAAAAGUUAAUGUGAUUCUAGCACAUAAUGCAAUGCUGGUGGCAAACUUUAUUUGAAGAGACACAUACGUGAGUAAAAAUAUCAAAAAAAUGAGAAAAAAAAAACUUCAUUGAAACAGGUAAUCCGGCCCAGCAUGUCUGAAUUUAAUAUGGUGAAAAUUCUUCCAUUCAAUGCCCAAGAUUUCCACAGAAUUUUGUUGAUGACAAUUAGCUGUAUACCGUUUAUAUACUAGAUCAGUGCCUCGUACGUAUUUCUAUCAAGUUCGUGAAGUAUUCGAGCUUUCCCUCUCUGUAGUUACUUUUAGCUCAAGUUGAUGACUUUAUGGUUGAAGAAACGCGAAACUGGUAGAAGACACAAGUUUAUCUAGGUAGCUUCACAAACAUGUGGCCAAGAAACUGAUCGGUGCAGGCCAAUUGAUAGGCUACCUCAAAACCAUGUGCAAACUUUUGAUGCAUCAAGUCCACGAAGAAUUAUCUUGACAGGAAUUGCCCCGUACUAACAGACACUAUCCAGAAAUCUCGAUUUGGCCGAAUUUGUAACCACACACAGAAGCUUAUCUUUCUUCCAGAGUUAUUCUUGGAUGUGCAACAUGACUGAUUCUUUGUGUAGUCACGUAUCAAGACUCCAGAAGCAGCCAUCCAAUAACACUGCAUUCACUCAUGAACAUUUUCUUGCUUAGCCUCUUUUUAUCUAACCAAUAUUUAUACAGAUGUAUAAUAUUUACGAGUUCAAAAUUUUAAGGCCUUGGAUUCAAACCCUUUUUCCCUUCCCUUCUCGACACCCUCUUCUACUAUAAUUUUUUGUUUGAAAAAAUAGAUGUAUAAUAAUAGAGUGUUUGUGAGAGUACCCAAGCUUCAAUUUAGAGAUCGAAAAAAAAUUUCCCUUAGUUAGGCUUUACGUUUUGAAUCAGUAAAUCAGUGCUCAACUCUAUGAUCAUUGAUGAGUUGUAGCAAAUUUGAAACUACUAUGCUCAAUUAUUUAUAUAGAGUUGUAGUAACAAGGAUUAAAAGAGGAAUCAAAGUAGAUAAUUAAAGUUUGAAAAGUUGUUUUGCCCGAGACUUAGCUUGGCAGGUGGGAACAUUAGUAAGUGAUCCUAAGAUAUUUUAUUCAAUUCUCAAUCCUCUUUUCCCUUCACCUUGUAAGGCUCCCCUUGUAAAGCUUGCUCUCCACUUUUCCCCUUCCUCUUUGUCCCCUUAGCAGCAAUGUAGCUAGCACCACAAUUUGACAAAGCAUCUUCUGAUCUCUCUUGUUUAUACAACUUGACCCGUUAUCCUUUUCCAAACAAGACCUGUGGUAUAAAGAAAACACAUGAAUUGGAGUCCAUGGUGGAGUUUGGAUUGCAUUUUUAUGAAGCGUUUUUAAAAGAACAAAAUUUUAAAAAAAGGAGGAAUAUUUUCUGAAACAAAGUAGAUAACAGCAUCUUUGGUAUAGCCUUUUUUGAUACCUCUUGUUUCUACAACUUGACCCCUUAAGAAGAGCUUUUAAAACGAAAAAAAAUAAAGAAUAAAAAAUAUUUUCUGAAAAAAAAAAGUAGAUGCCAGCAAAUUUGGAAACUUUUCCGAAGUUUAUUAAAAGUAAGUGCACGUCGGCCAGAGCCCGGAUUGGGUAUUAUCAUAUUAUCGCGUCCAAAUGCAUAUAGCCAAUCUUGAAGUAUAAGUUGAAAUUAUUCUAGCACACAAACGAAUCACAAGAUGUACAUCAAUAAAACCUUGAAAACGUACGGAUGAAUGUUCUAAUAUAAUAUUUUGAGGGACGCAUAGACGUCUAUACUUAACUAUUUAUUAAUUUCAUAACACCUCUCAUUGGAUCGAUGUCUAUUAGACAAAGAAAUUGCACUAUUAAAAUCUUAGUAUGAAAAAACUCAGCUGGAUUCAAAAAAAAGAAAAAAGAAAAAAAACUCUAGUGGAUGAAAAAAUAACACAUAUUCUUUAUGUGUCAAUAUUGCAACUAUGGUUUGAAAUCUUUAAACCGAAACAUUCUAAUUUUUUUCACCAAUUUUUCAAAUAUCGCAGUUAUCAAUGCCUUGAUAAAUAAAUAUGUCAAAUUUGAGUCUCAAAUUUGUUUCUCAUCAUUAGAUUUUUGGAGGUGCUCAAACUGUGAUGUGUGCUUUAAUGAAAUUAGGAAUUUGGGACCAAAACAACUUGAUGGUGGAGAAUUAUUGUUUUGUGGCAAAGACAUACUGGAGUUGUAUUGUGUGUGAUAUGUCCAAUUUGAAGGUUGUCAGUGUGUGAUCAGUUGACAGUGAAUUGAGACUCGCAGCCACCGGAAAUUCACAUAGGCGGUACAAAACAAAAUGAUCUUCAUAACUCAGAUAAUGAUCUUUCUAGCCAGAUCAUCAGAAUAUUAGAAUUUGAACUCUCAACGCCCACCACACUGUUUUGACAGCAGUAGCAUGCAUGCAUUGUACUGUUCUGAUAACAGCGGUAGGAGCAUGCAUGCAUGCAAUCUGGCUCCGCCGGAAAAGCGAAAGAGGCCUAUCCCGAUUCCCGAAGGAAGGGCAGAAAGAAAGAAAGAAAAGCUGUUUUAAGAAAAUAUUACUAGUAUAAUUAGCAAUAAUCGAAAAAUGGCAUUAGUAAAAUAUGUUCGAAAAAGAUCAAGAAAAUAAGACAUAGUAUUCCAAGAUGCAAUGCUGGUGGGCAACUUUGCUUGAAGAGGUGCUCGCGCAAAUUAAAAAGAAGAAGAAGAGGACGAAGACUUUAUUUAAAGAGGUAAUAGCGUACGGCCCAUUCAAUAUCUGGAUUUAAUAUGGUGAAAAUUCUUCCAUUCAAUGCUCAAGAUUUCCACAGAAUGUUAUUGAUGACAACUAAUUGUAUACCUCGUGUUUGUAACUUUGUAUCAAGUUCGUGAAGUAUUCCAAAUAUCCCCCCUCAACAGUUACUUUUAGCUGGAGUUCAUGGAUGACAAAAAAAAAAAAAAAAAAAAAAAAGCAAAGCUGGUAAACGACACAAUUUUAGCUAGCUUCUCAAACAUGUGGCCAAGAAAAGAACUAAUCGGGUGUUGUUCAAUUAGUACGUAGAUUACCUCAAAACCAUGCAAACUUUUGAUUCAUUAAGUCCACGGAUUUGUCCCGUAUUAGCAGACACUAUCCAGAAAUCUCGAUUUUUCCGAAUUUCUCAUCAUAACAAAAUUUUUCUGUCAUCCAGAGAUAAUUUUUCUUAGUAACUAAAGUUAGAUUAUGCGACUGAAACUACUGUUGGAGAGAAACGCUCGCUCGAGCAGUAUUAACUUUGGAGACAUUUUCCUUAUAAUUGUUCUAAUGUUUUUCCAUAUCGAUCGGUUGUUGCAGCAGCAAGUUGAAGCUUGGAAACUAAAACGGGGCCACUAGCUAGAUGACUCCAGAAAACAAGCUAAUAUAUAUAAUGGUUAGCCAUGAAUCUUGUGACACCAUAAAGUCAAAAACCAUGGACUGGUAUUACUGGUUUUUCUUUUCUGGAAACCAUAUCUUUCGCUGGAGAAUAAGCUGUCCUUCAACAGCAAGCUCCCCCGGGGGUUGGUGUGGCUGGUUUUAUCAUAUAUACGGUUUGUUUAUUGUGCAUUCAGCUCUAAUUUGAAGUCAUGGACUUGAAGUUGAUGAAGAAGCAGGAAAUGGGUAAACGUUGUUAUUGCAAUACAGCAUCCAUCCAUUGAUGAAUAUUUGAGCAAUAAGAGAAAGCGCACUUUUUAUUUUGCCAAAAUAAAUAAAGAAAAUAUUCAAUUAAAACUGCAAAUACCGUACUGAAUAUAUAUGUUGAAAAAACCGAAGCAAAUAAAAUUUUCACUUCUUUAGCACGUGAUUUAUUUUCACAUAAGUCAAAUGAGUUGGCACACCUUAAUUGAAUAUUAGCAACGGAAAGGAUUUAUUUUGCAUUUCCUUACAAAGAAGGUUCUGAAUUAGAGAUGGCAAAUGGGCGAGAUGGGUGGGACUACAAAAUAUAGGCUAUACCAUAUUAGUCAUGUGACCAAUAUGGAUGCGACAAAACGAGCUAAACCCAUUUUAAUACCCGCUCAAAUAUCCAAUAAAUUCUAUUUUAUUUUUUCAACUCUUUUUUUCCUAAUCAAAUGUCUCAAUAUUACCUUUUGUUUUUUUCUAAUAUCAUUUAGCUAGUUUGUUUAACUCUGUGAAACUGUCCACCAUCAAAAUCAUGCGUUCUCCUAAAAUGUUUAAUGAUUCAGUUUUGUACCUGUUCAAAUUUCUACUUCCCAUGACUAAACACUGCCCAUGUUUCCUCCAACAGAUGAUCUUAUAUACAUAUUUGUACAGUCCAUGUCAGAAUGAAGGUGAUCAGCUUUGAUUCUUUGCAUCGUGGAAAAACCGUGAAACAAAAUCUAUGCUAUAUUUUUCUUUCUAAAUUAAGUUUUCAAGGACUAAAUUUCAUGAGAUUUGAAAGUAAACUUACUUUCUGAAGUUCAAUUUGGAUAUAGCAAACUUUGCUAAUCAAAUGUUUUAAUAUUUAUUGUUGGGUGGUUUUUGAUUUUUAGAAAAAUCAAUAAUGUUCUUAAACUUUGGGGGAAAGAAAGAUCCAUGAUGGAAGUUGUAAAUAAGUCCUAGUUAAACCCAUAUUUCAAAUGGAUAUUAUUAGGUAUAUUUCUAGUUUAACCAAGUCCCAUAUUUUAUACACCUGUCCCACCCAAAUUAAAUUUGGGUAGGGGAGUCCAUUGGGUCUUGGGACUUUUUCCCACCUAUAUUCCAAACCAAUCUUUUUUUUUUCUUUUGACUGAAACUCUACACGGAAAAAAGAAAAAAAAAUGGAAAAAAAAAGGGGUCGGGUGGGUCGGUAUGAGAUAAGUUAAGAAGGUAUACAUCAUGCACAUUCAUGUAGUUUUCAGAUAGUUAGAAAGUCCCUCGACAAUCCCCCCCCAAAACCUACAUCCAAAACCUACUUUCUCGCACUCCAUUGACCCUUUUUUUUUUUGAUCAUUCUCUUUCAAUUCGACCUACUACGGAGAUUUGAUUGUGACGAAUAAACAAAUUGCACCUACAUAUGCAAGCGGUAGCUUGGUUAGGGCCAGAAAAAUCUUUUGCUUGAUCUAAUUCUCUACGUACUGCCAGAGUUUUGUAGACCGAACUUCAAUGAGAGAUCAAAAAGAAUUUCCAGCUCUAUGACGAGUGAUGAGUUGCAGCAAAUUUGCAAAAUAGUACCAUGUUCAAUUAUUUAGGGAGAGGACGUUUGGGAACUUUCCCAAAGAAUUUUUGUCAUAGAAGUGCACGUCAGAGACAGAGCCUAAGUUUUUUUUUUUUUUUUUUGUAAUAAAAGGGACUAUAUAUUGAAUAAACUUAAGUAAUAGGUACAAAACGAGAGAAACAAAUUCCCUUAAGAUCUUAAAUUUCUCAAAGCAUAAGAAAUACUAUCAUAACAUACAAAAUUCACGUCUUGUUAAGUACCCAGUUUCGUCAAUUUGUUAGCACACUGAUUUGCUUCUCGAUAAGCAUGUCUCAGUUAGGUGUUAGUAGAGGGUGAAAACCGCGCUGGCAGACGAGGAUAAGAAUAUUACUAACAAAUUACAGCUCACAAAAUAGGCCCCUACAACAUUGAAACUUCAGGAAUACCAUAAAUUUGCAUUUCUUGCUUACAAAAUGUUCAUAAUUUAGUCUAAAAUCUUGGAGUUCUGUGUGAGCAUUUUCCAAGUGGCGCACAAAAAAGAAAAGAAUUUUCUCCAGUCCAUAUAUACAUAGAACGACAUUCUAAAUAGCGCAAUAGGUACCUUUGAAAGCCACAAAACCUGUUCACCACAUUUCUGGCUACCAAUUUUCAGACCAAGAUAUUCACAGUAACGUUUUUGGGCAAAAAGGGAAUAAAUAAACUGCUAUAUGAAAGAAUACGUGCCGCAAGUGCCAAGAAUCAUGCGACGGCAGAAAAUACACUAUAGGAAUCGUAUCAUCAUCAACUAUAUAUUUGCGGUUUUCUACCUAUUAGCUUCUGUCAUUGUUCCUCAGCUGACACCUAGAACUCGGAAUGAUUAGAAGCAGUGAAAAUUCCCAUCAUCUUAUUCUUUCUGACCAUAACAGAGAUAAAUACCAAAAUAAAGGCCAACAGCUCGUACAAAAACAAAUUAUACAUGAAAAAGCCAUGGCUUUAUGGGUAUGACUUGGCUACGAAAGCACACAUAAUUUGAUGGCUCAACAAAGCUCUCGUCAAACUCCUAGCCGAGGGUGUUACAUUCCAUACAACAAAGUUUGUGUACCUGCCAAACAGCAGUUGUCAAUUAGAGCAAACGAGGACGGGUUUACAACCCAUGCGUUCAAAUUUUCAUCAGAAAACUGAAAAAACAAGCACCUGACGUUCAUGAAUUUACAACAAUAUCCAACAUCUUCUUUCAUAGCCAUGAUUCUUAGUUGAUCACUCGAAAUUAGACUCGACAACCAUAGAAGAACCAGGCAAGAGAUCAGAACCACUAUAUGAUGCUUCUUCAGGGAAAGUUUCUCUGCCUUAUUUAAAAGGCAUUAGAAAGGUUUGAUGCUCAACAUCAGAAAAACUAGCUCCAUCGGUUUCCUAAAUUUUGAAUUUGCCCAUUAAUGUUUCAAUUCAACGUCUCCAUUUGUAGUUUGUACUAUGUAAAGAGGAGGGCAAUAGACGUAACAAAGUGAAAUGAAUUAAAUAAGAAGAAUGCAUAGAAUGACAGCUUAAACAUGCAAGUGAUUUGAACUACGACCAUGAACUGACAGUACCAAAGACUUUGUAUGCCAAAUGAAACUUGAAAGAAGAAUAUGAGCGGACAAUUUUGAAACUAUGAUAAACCAUCUGCCAGGUAUGUCUAUCCAGUUGCAACUAGGAGACUGAUGAGCAUGGGCAAUAUAUACAGCAAAUAGAAGGAUCAAGCAAACAAGAUGUUCCCCGAAGAAACUGCAAAAAGAACGCCUCCAUAAAGAACUAUUCUAUAUAUAUAUAGAGGCCUAAGAGCUUCAACAGAAAUUGCUUUACUAGAACGCAGAAAUCUGUAUUUAGAAUUAAAUGCAUUGAACUAUGUGAAAAGAGUCAAAUGCAUAUAUCAAUAACCAUUAACCAUUUUUUCUAAAUAAGUGUACGUGGGAGGGCUGAACCUGGGACCUCUCACUUACCAAUAGCUUUAAUGAAGUACAAGACUGCGGUUAUGAGAAAAAAUAACUAAGAACAUAUGCACAUGAUUUAGCUGGAGUAAAAUGACAUUCAGCAGACAAAACAUCAAAUACUAAUAUUGUCAUCCAAGUUAGGAAGUAUACCUCUUGCCUGGUAAAUUACACCUUGUACUCAUGGACCCGCAUCCACUUUGUUGAUGACCACUUAUUCCCUCUAAUAACAGGGCAACCGCCUACAGAAGCACAAUAGAAGAACGAUGUUAAGAAUGGCAAUCAUUCAAUGUAGUACAAGGAGAAGGAGAAAAAGAAAAAAGACGAGCACUUGAAAACCAGUUGAGUUCUACUGCAGUGAGAACUACAGUUUCAAUACAUACUGGAAUAACCUCCGAAACUGAUCUGUCCCAUGAUUAGAUAUCAAAUGUACUUGGUACACAAGGGACCCAAAAAAAAAAAAAGAUGAAAAAAAAAGACCACCAUAACUUGAAGGAUCAAAAAAAGUUACCGUGCAAACUUGAAGGAUCAAGAGUGGCAUCAGGCUUCAUGCUCCAAAACAGCAAAGCAUCACCCCUCUUUGGUUUAACAGAAAGCCCUCCUUUUCCACAUUCAGACAGCUCAUUCCACCAAGGUACAGCACUAAUAUUUCCUUUGGCUGCAGGAAAAACUGUUUCUCCGCCCUCUUCAAUAUCUGACCUGCUCAUAAUUAUGUGAGGAGAGGAAACUAGACUAUUAGACUAAGAUACACAAACAUACACUACAUACAAAACCACAAGAAGAAAGAUAACUUACAAAUACAUAAGAACUGUAGCUAUGCGUUGGCCCCCAUUCCUGGUGUUGAACUCAUCAAGAAAGUAAUCAUAAUGAGGCUCAUACUUUUGACCCACCUCAUAGUGCAGAAUUUGAAGUCCCUCCCCAUGCUCUGUACAUUCCAGGAUUGACUCAUAAAUAUUUUAAGGUGGGAUAGAUAUAUGAAAGGUCAUCCAAACUAAUCGUAAAAAGGAGGAAAAGUUCAAUACUGUCAACAAAAAUCAGCUUGAAAGUAGUGAAUUAGCAUGAAACCAGAAUCAAACAAAUGCUCUCCCUUAUCAUGAAAUAAGUUCCUGGAAAACUUUAUUAUUAGCUUAGAAAAUGAGAAAUUUGGCACCAAUAGACACUGAAGGAGUCAAGGAAAUAAAGCAUAUAAGAUAGAGAUUCAAACACUGUAAGAGCAAUAGCUAUUCAAUGGCAGCAAAGAGAUGGUGAGGCAGAAAAGGUAGUGCCACAAACAACAAACACAGUAACGAGGAGAGUUCAUAAUGCUGAGAAACAAGAGCCAUGAGGCAAAAUCGUAAGGAAGCUCAACAUCACCAAGACUAAAUGCCAAGAAAAAUACCAGCAGUCAUCAAAAUUUCCUAGACAACGUAACAACCACUAAAUGCCACAAAAGAUGGGCCCAAAAACCAGACAGGUCAGAGUAAAAAAAUUACAUGGUUGACAUCCUUAGUCUUCCUGCCAAAAGAUUAUAGUGAAAAAGUCCUGAAGGAAAACACUUGGUAACACUACUAAUGAUUAUUCCCUAUCUGUUGCUAAAACACAUGCAUUCUUAUAGGCAAAAGACAUAAUAACGUAUCUUCAAACAUACCUACGGGUAUGAAGGCAAAAUCUGCAAUUCUUUUCUCAAUUUCCCUGACCGUUUUAUCACGUCCUCUAGCAAGAAAUGUUCCGGAGCUUGUACGAACUCUGCAUGCAAAAGAAAUCACAGAAGAUUUCAAUUAAAAGAUGACAGACAGAAUGAAUGGCCAAAGUUUUCGUCUUUUUAAGCAAAAUUUACAUUUUGGUGGCAGAAAAGAAUAACGAGUACAAACCUACUAUCUUUACUUUUGCCAGUAGCACUAUCCACAACUGUUGACUUUUGCAUAUGUGGCUUGGCAAGAUUGAUCAGAUAUUCACACUCUUCUAUAGACUGCACAAGCCAAGAGGAGGGGAAAAAAAUCGAAAUAAGUAACUUCGAACCGAUCUUCUCUCUUUUCCAGAAAAAAUAAAAAUCAUACAAAGGCUUCAAGCAAAUCAAUAUCUUAAGGAAGAUAAUAGAAUUUCUAGUGAAAUGGCAAAAAAGAUUAAAGUAAGCCUGAUAUGACACACAUCGCACAUCAUGUUUCCUAAUGAAACUUGAAUACAUACAUCUUCCUCACUUAUAAACAUACAGCACAAAAUUGCCUACAAAGUCAAGCAACAAUCAUUUCAGGAUUUAUAGGAUCACAUAUAUGUACCUUCAAAUCCUAAUCCUGGCAACUAAUCUACUAGGCAGCUAGCAAUGCCAAGGCACAUCUCAGUUAAAGCAACCCUCAGUUAUGAACUUAAUUACACGCAAAUUCAGAGAAAACAUUUGUAAAUUCAGCCACAUAAAUCAACUAGCACAGAAGAUCUAAACGAAUUCAAUGAAACCAAUUAAACUGGCAGAUACAUAACAAAUUUUUAUCGACUUCUUCAAAUGAAUUUCAUUUCCAAUCAAAUUACAUUCUCACGACUCCUGCAAAUCAACAUCUAUAACCACCAAAUAUACUGAUUUUUCUCCAGCCUUACUAUUGGGCCUCUUCCCUAAUCAGUUCUUCAACCAUUCGCCACGGAUAUGCAUACAAAAACAUGCAGACUAAUUCACUAAUAACAAAUAAAAAUACCAUAUGACCCAACCAGAGAGGGGGGGAAGAAAGUUUACCAAGAAAUUGUGGUAAACAACUGCUCUAGGUUCCCAAGAGAUAACUUCAACCCACUGAUCUCCCCUCCCCUCAUCAUCAUCUUCAUCACCUCUGCACCAAAAAAACAAAAAGCAAAAAUCAAACUCCAGAUCGCAAAAAGUUCAAACAGGAAAACAAGAAAGCAAUUUAACAAUUCAAACACCCGUGAUUUCAUUUCAAUGUAUCGUUACCUAUCAAUACUGUUAUGGGCAAUUGUGCUGAGAUCGUGCGCUUUCUGAGAAUCUCUAGAAGUGCUGGGAAUGGAGAGUAAUCCGAGGGAUAACAUAAUCAACAACAAAAAGGAGAACAUGAUAAACAUAGCGAAAAUCAAUGUGGAAGACGACGUCGCUUUCCGCGACGGACCCCUCAGGUGGCGCCCCUUCACCGCCAUUGCAAAUUUCACUUUCGGAGAUCUUCGGGGGAUGAAUUUAGGAAUCGACCAACAAGUCUCGUUCAAUUUUGUUGUGUAAUCUGGGAAUUUUUCAGUUGAAAUUGGAGAUAGUACGCCAAGAGAGAAGUUAGGCUUUUAAUUAAUGAAUAAUUAAAGACUAGUACUCAUACACAAAGCAGUAGCAGCUGAAAAUAUGGCCAUACACCGCCACUCCAGCACACAUUCUCCUCCUUUUCUAAAUACGUUAUGUAUUCAUUCUUGCACUUCAACUUUAUACUUGAUACGGAGUACUAGAGUUGAAAUAUAUAUUUUGUCUUGUAAUUUAUAUAUGAUAUUGGCAACCCAUAUUGUUGUUGUUUUUUUGUUGGGAAAAUGACAUGUUUCGUCCCUUACAUUUUGCAAAAAUAUUUUUUUCAUCCCUUACUUUUAAAAUGAAGCAAAUUCAUCCCUGACAUUUAAAAAUUAAAGCUAUUACAUCCCUGAACCUAAUUUUCAAUCUGAAUCAAAUCAUCCAAUAACCCAGUAAUAAAUUUCGAAAAUAGAAUUGAUAGAUCAUUCGGUUAACUUCAUCAUAUUCACAUGACAUUUAUUAAACCAAAAAAAUAAAAAUUAUAACAUAAAAGACCAUUAUUUGUCUUGGAAUAGUAGAGUUUUUUUUUUUGUAAAUCUUUUCAUGCACCGUUAGUAUAUCCGCUUGCGAAUCUAAAUGUGUAUCAUAAAUAUAAAAUUUGGUGUUUAAAUUUAAAUUAAAAUGAUAUGGUGGUACAUAAAACUGUCAGUGUAUACAAUGAUAAUAUAGGAAAGAUUAAUCUUUCUUUUUUAUGUUAUAAUUUUUUAUUUUUUAUUUUUAGGUUCAUUAAUUUUCACAUGAAUAUCAAGUUGAGUUAACCAAGUGAUCUACUAAUUACACCCCCGAAAUUUGUAAUCAGGUUGAUUGGUGGUUUGAUUCAGAUUGAAAUUUGGGUUCAGGGAUGUAAUAAUUUCAGUUUUUAAAUGUCAAGGACGAAAUUGGUUCAUUUUAAAAGUGAGGGACGAGAAGAAUAUUUUUGUGAAAUGUGAAAGAUGAAACCGAUCAUUUUUCCUUUUUUGUUUUACAUUUUUCCCCUCUUAAAAAUAUAAAUUAUGAUUCUAAAACAAAGCUGGGGAUUGACCAAAAUAAAAAUUCAUACUAGUUGCUUUAAUUUGAUGGCAACAAGUCAAAUUAUUGUUUGAAACUUUGAAUAGCAAAAGCGCUAGUUUUGAUUAAGUUAGCACAUUGGUUUCUUGAAAUAAUUAUUUCCAAAUAAAGAAAAAAGGUCUUUGCGCAAAAAAAAAAAAACUUUAUAUUAUAUGUUAACCAAUAUCUAUCUAAUAGAUACUCAAUAAAAAAAUUUUUUAAAAAAAGUGUAAUGCACGUUCACCCAUGACCAUGAGUUGGGGUCAACUCCCCCGUCCGAUGCAUAUUGACAUUUUCUUCGAAGAUGCGUUGAGAUUGUUAUGUGUUAAAAAAAAAAAAAAAUUAAGGACCGGCCACUGGCAUUAGUUGGCAAAAGUGUCGAAUAAAAUUACCAAUAGCCAAUGCAUCCCUUCAAGUUUUAUGGAGGAGGGCAUGCAACCGUUCCUGAAGAUUUAUGGCUAAGAUUUGAUCCAAAAAACAUAUAAGACUCAAAUUGCAUAUUGUACGUCAUUUUUCACGUUAUAUAUAAAAUUUAUAAAAUUUUAUUUUAUAAUUAUAUAUUAUUAAAAAUAAAUUAUACUGUAUACAUACAAAACAUAAUUUGUACAUUUUACACAAAAUCAUUCCGAAUAAUUUUCUGACAAAAUGUUCCGGUCCCUUGUCCAAGUUCUACCGACAAAAACCCGAGUGAAGGAGGCACAUGGGUUGGGUGUGUUUUGGAGCUGGCGCUCAUAAUUCUGACUAGUGCAGUUGCACUUGGGUUAAGUUCAUUACACAAACGUUUUGACUCUACACUUGCUGAAACGCAGAUAGCGUUGAAUUGCGGAUAAAUAAAGUUGGUAGUUUUGGUACAAAACCGGCUUUAUCAUUUUUAUUGAUGAACAUUGGAAUUUGGAAGGAAAUCCUUCUUGGGAAAAUGCCCCGUUUGGAUUGCUUUUAUCUGGAUUUUUUUUUUUGUAGAAAAAUUACUGUAUCGAUUUGAUACAUAUGAAGUAAAAAGGUGAUAGAAAAAUAUGUUCACGAAAAAUAUAAUAAUUUUUUUGAGAAAAAAUCGCAAUCCACUUUCCAUCAUCAUAGACUAUGAACAGUGGGUCUAUACAAGUAUCCAUUGUCCACGGCCACGCAGGGAAAACACGGCAUUUCAUUUAUCUAUUGAUACUUGUGUAUAAUUUUAACAGGUUCGUUUGACAUUUCUCACACGCCUACAGCUUUUUCAUUUAUGAUAAGAGGCAGUUGAGAGGCGGUCAAUUAGAAUAUCUAACAAUUUCACAAUCAGAUCGGUAGACAACAAAGCACUAUUCAAUGAUCAAUGGAAAAACCUGGAGGCAAAACUCGAGUACUUGAAGAGCCUUCUGAAAGCUAGUAGUUCUCGAAGAGAAACCAGGAUGGCUAUCACAUACAUAAUUCUUAUAUAAAAAGCAGUGAAAUCAAAGCCAGCAGAUAAGGGCUUGGAUGCAUAUCAGAGCACUUUUCACUUUUAAAUUGAUCGUGUAGUACAGCACCUACAUUCCUAAAAGAUUCCCAAAUUUCUAGUAGCUGGAGGAGGAGCUGACAUGUAACAACAAAAUUGCGGGAUAUGGGUUGAUGCUCUUCGUUUGGGCGUAUCCAUGGACUCGAUGACUGGCUGGUUCAGAUAUGCAUAUUUGCUCUUUGUCCACCUGCAUAUUUGGGUAGGAGAGAAAUUUAUAUGACAACUAAAAGCAUAACUGAAUAUUGUAAUCUCAGCAAUGUGGCAUAAUAAAGGAGUGUGGCAGAGCCAGCUACAAUCAAUGAGAUUGCUAAAACAUCUCAGUGAGCCUCUUCAACUUACCAAUCCUUUAUUCCUACUCGCAACUCUUUAAUCUUCUCAUCCUUCUGGCUAAAGCUUUUAGCAGUAUCCUUUUCUUUACCAUCAUCAUCCUCCUUCAAAGAUUCCUCAAAUCGCCGAUAAUCAUCUUCCUGUACACCAGAUAUUCAAGAACAUUAAUCACCAAUACCAGCAUUUAAAAUCAAAAUCAUCCCUCUUUACACGUUUCCCCAGACAAAGUUAACAAAAACAAGAUCUACAGACAAAUGCUUGCCCUUUAAACCGAAAUUUUUUGUCGAAAAAUGGCCGGAAAUACUGUAUGUUAAUGGGCAUGGUUGGCUGUUGAAUUAUCCCACUAUACAAGUAUUAGAGAGGAAAUUCGUGACCGCUCUGCAGUUAAGUUGAAAUUGGAUGCUAGCAAAUGAAAGACAAUGGCCUGUAUCAAGCAGGUCUUCUAUUUAAAUGCAGUCCAAGACCAUGUCUUUAUCUGAGAAAACGAAAAUUUAUCCAGGAAAUAAGAUGUUAGGUGAUGAGAAUAAAGCCACAAACAUGAAUCAAUCAAGGGUUCUAAUGAUUUUGAAUUAAAGAAUGCUUAUAAAGUACUCUUUUGCAUUGAUUGACCGGCCACCAUAAUCAGUUCUAUCAAGCUCCUUAUUUCUAGCAUACCAUCACCAGAACCGUGAAUAAGAAUAAAAAGAUAAAACAGCAGUAGCAUCCGUAAGUUUAUAAACCAAAAUGCAAAAUGGAAAACAUUGGUGAUAUCCUUGUAGAAUGGACUUGAUGUGGACCAAGUCAAGCAAGGAAGCAUGUUUCUACUUCGUCAAAAUUUAGUGACUUUUCCUUUUUUGAUAAACAGAAAACUGUUAAUAAAAUCUCAAUGCCUGGAGCAUACUUUGUUAGAUAAGAAUCUUCGUUCCAGUAUCCAAUAAAACUGAACUCAAAUGCAAUUCAUGGUAAUUCUUGAAAGCCAUUUUUCCAGGAUCCUCAAACUUUUGUGUUUGUAGCAAGAACUCUACGAUGAAACUUACUGACAGAUUGCGCGCCCUGAUACGAGCAGCAGCUUUGAUUGCAGCAAGCAGGUGAUCUUCCUCGACCAUACUCCUUUGCCUCCAAUACAUAGCAAUCUCUUGAUUAGUCACGCUCACCACUGUUGGUCGCUUUAUUGCUGGAUUGGCAGUACACGAAAACUUGGGUAAUGGUGGCAGAGGAGGAGGAGGUGGUGGAGUAGAGCCCAUCUUUAGCCUCGAACUAUGAGUUUCGCUUUUAGUUUCGAUUUGCAUCAUUUUGAAAAUUUCUAACCAAUUUUACUCAUGCAGAGAGCCCCUAACAAAUUUGAUCUGUUGUUUCUCCAAUUCUUAUAGUGGAGCUCAAGUCCUUGAGAGUUAAGACGCACAAGUUUCAUGAAUGUGCUGCAGCUAAUGAUUCAACUUCCAACCUAACUGUCAGAGAGACUAGGUGACCAUGAUUUGUCUUCUCUAGGCGCAACUCUUCUGCAUAAAUAACUUGCACAAUUCUGUUAGUCCAUACACUGUACAAGCAAGUGAGAGCAAAUGAAAAUCUGACUGACUUGAAAGAGAAAAGGAGCAAAAUCUGACUGGUAGAUGCAACCUUGACAUUUCCAGUGAAAGGGUAAGAUUGACAGCAUGUUGCUACUUACUUUCUCGAACCAAAUACGAAACAUCUCAUCUGCGUACGGUUAGAUGUCAAUAACCUACCAGUCCACAGGAGACACUCAAAUGCUGGACAUCGAAUGCUGCUAGAAACCAAGUUGGGAACUCUACUUCAAAAGCUUUCAAUUUUAUCAUAGUUUGCCUGAAAAUGAAAGAGACUGCACCUCGCAGGGAAAACAUUAACAACAUAGAGAUGGACGUAUCUACCUUAAUCACUCUUUAGACAUAUUUUAAUAACGUGCUGCCAUCAUCAUUUCUCAGCCAGUCGGCAGCUUCAAACAAAUCCAUCAAUUUCCUCAAGAUUGCAAUUGGAUUCUGAGCAGCUAAAUAUACCAACAAAACCAACCAGAACAUAACAAAAAAGAAGCCUUUAUUCCAACAAUUCCAUUUUUUACAAAACAGAUUCAAAAAUACACCUUCUAUAUCAAGACUCUCUAGAGUAUAGACGCCCUAAAGGCCACAAAAUACAAGGGAAGCACCCAUCAUCAUAAAACCCAAAACCCAAGGGAAAAAAAAUACAAUCUUGCUCAGGUCUCUGAAGUGAUCCUUAAAGCCUUGGUCUUGAAUCUGUACCUUGGAGCUCUAGGAAUAACCUGACUAGGUCCCAUAUGGAGCUGGCCCGGACUAUCAGUCAUGGGUGGCCCGUCAUCGUAAAUAUAACCGACCCGUUUGCCGCAACUAUUGCACAUGAUCUUGGUUCGAUUCCUUUGGAUGCCCCAAUAAUUGACUGUCUCGAAAAAAGGUACGAACUUGUUUUCCUUCUGGUAGCUGAAUUUGGAAGAGUCAAUCAUGGCAAAAGAAAGAGUCCCUUUAUUGCCUGCCUCAAAAUAGAAAUCCGGUGGGUAGAGAUGGAACGUGUGGAGGUUUAGAUUGGCUCCGCACUCUUUGCAGCUGUAGACCGAUGCCAUUUUUCGUUGCUUGUAUACCUUUGGCUGUAGAGAUGAAUGUGGUUAGAAAUUGCAAAUGGGUUUUGAAGGCUUAAACAGGUUAGAAAAUUGCCGUGGCCAAUCGUUGUCCGUGGAAAGUUCUAAGUUCUAGAUGGCAAUGCCGGUACGCGGCAGCAAAAUGGAGGAUGUUCUUGAAAGAAAUGGUUAAUUGUUUGCUAAAACUAUAAUUAGAUCUAUAAGUAUUGAAACAUUACAAUCAACCCCCUUGAUUAAACAAGGGUGGACUCUCCAUUUGGAAAGUAUAAAUGAACAUUUGACCAAACAAGAACAGAUAGAUGGAAGAAAAUGAACAAAAACCCCAUACAGAAGUUUUACAAAGCAAUCAAAUUACAAUUCUUUCAUACGUUUCAUUCUCAGGUAGAGCUGAAAGGUAAACCAAAUUACUUAAUAUUUGAAUGAAUUUGAUUUGGUGAGAGUUUGUUCAAGUUUGAUUCACUAACUAGUCAAAUAAAGUUUCAACAGUAUUUUGUGUUUAAUAAUAUUCAAAUUCGAUAAAAAAAAAUCAUCCAAUAUCAGUUCAAUAGAUAAAUAAAUCAAAAUUUAACAAAAUUUCAAAUUCAUUAAAAUAACUAAACAAAUUUAAACAUUAUGACGGACAAAACUGAUUUACACCUCUAAUAUCAAGUCACUUCUGUUUCAAAUUACACAUCAUUAGCUUAUGCCCUAGCUAGCCCAAAUCUUAAAAAACCAAAUAGUAAUUCUUUACCUCUGCUUUGCCUCUACUCCAAGAUGCCUAAUUCCCAAUUGAAAAAUAGGAAUGGUAAUUGAGGCGGGUGCUCAUGGAGGGCUAAUGGGGUGGUGAUUGAGAGGGCGCCGGGGAGGGGGGAGGGGGGGAUUUUUUUUCCCCAUUCGCCUCGUCCCCCCAUUCGCCCCGUCCCGCCACCUGUUAAAAUAAAUAAAUAAAUAUGUAUAUAAUUAUAUAUAUAUAAUAUUUAAUUUAAUUAGUUACAAACUUAUAAUAAUUAUAUUAUUAGUUAUAAGUAUUAUAUAAUAUAUAUUAAUAUAUGUAAUAUAAUUAAUAUUAUCAAUUAUACUAAUAAUUAUGCAUGUCUACUAAUAGAAAUUAUUAAUUAGUUAUACUAAAUUUACUAAUACAUUUAUACUAAAUUUCUAAUUACACUUAACACAAUAACAUUUUUUUCUAAAAAAAACACAAUAAUGCCUUAGUAAUUGUAUUUGUAUCAAAAGUAAAAACUUGACUACUUUAAUUGUAUUAGUUUUAUCAUGUUUGAUUGUAUUCAAAUAACUUUUUUUGAUUGUUUUAUGGGUUUUAAUUGUGAAAUUACAAUGGAUAAUAAUUUAGUGAUGUAUUAAUAUUUUAGUAUUUGAUUAUUUACUGAAAUUUAACUAUAAUAAAAUUAUAUGACAAAUUUUUUAUUAACAACGUGAGGGAAGUGGCACGAGGGAGGGGGGAGGGUGAGGGAUGGGGACGAAAGGAAUUAGUGGACAACGGUGCCAUUCCUAUUGAGAAACGUGUAAUUUAGCGCAAAUCUUUAAUAGGUCAAUGCAAUUAACCCUAGACGAAAAAUGGUUUAAACUCAUUAUUCGGGUUUGGAAACGGUCAUUGAGAAUUUAAUCAUGCUUAGCUUUCUUGAAAAUGCAAUCACAGUACUUUAAUAUUUGUCAUACUAUAUAAGGUUUAUAAGGUUUGUCAUACUAUUUGUCAUGCUUAGAUUUACUUUUUAUUAUUGUGGGUUUCUAUUGUAACUUGCAAUCUUGUUCUCAUGUCAACGAAUAGUUUAGUAUAAAAUAAAUUAAUGGUCAUGCAUGUUUCGGCAUUCCAAUAAUAAUGAAGCAUGGAAAAAUAACUUUUAUGUCAGUAAAUUAGCUAAACUGUUACAGGAUCUUAUCAUUAUGCUUGUUAGUAGUUACUGGUAUUUUAUGCUUUCAAGAAUUUUGACUGAUGAACUUGUAUUACAGGGCAAUUUUGGUUCUUAUUUUUAUUGAUUCUUUUUUUUUUUUUUUUUUACAGUUUUUUUCCAAAGAGAAACUUCAAAUCUCGAGUAAGGUAAUGAAUAGUAAGUCGUCUCAAAAUGGUACGAGGGCUAUAGGAGAAUAUUUUAAAGAAAGAAAGAAAGGAUUUAUACUUUUCAUCUUGUGACACGUGUUUGGAUAGCUUUUUAUUAAAAAAAUAAUUAUUUCAUUCUAUUGUAAGCACUUUUUUAAGAAUUUUUUUAAUCACAUUUUCACAUCAUAUACAUAAAGUCACAAAAAAUAUUAUAAUUAUUUUUUUAAAAAAAUACUAAGAUUGCAAAAAAUGUGGUGAACAAGUAGAAGAUCUUGAAAUAAAUAUUUUAUUGUAGUCACUUAGACAAAAAGGUAAUUACCACCUCAACAUAUUUAUGUAAAAACUACCCAAAAAAAUUGCAAAUAUAGUAGCUAGGAAUUACUAGCAAUUAUUUAUUGAAUAAAUUACUACUGAAAUUACGUAUGACUGGCAACGGCCAAUUCUGAUAGGACUUGCAAAUCGAAUCAAGCCUGUUUUUGCUUCUUCUACUUCCUUUUCUUCUUUCUUUUACAAAUUAUUGUCCUUUUUUUUUUUUUUAAUUGUUCGAUAAGACGCAAUUACACCCGGCGCAUAUUAGCCGCCCCGAAAGGUCGGUCAACAGAUGGCGUACAAUGGAGGGUCUCCCUUCUAUAAAUACCCCCCUAUCCCCUCAUUUCUGAGGUUUCUCAAGGGUCUCCUUCCUCCCGAGUGAGAAGAAGGGAGCGAUCGCUUCAGAUCUCAACUGAGGAAAGACUGGUAAUAACAGAAAAAAGGGAAGAAGGACAAAUUAAAUUUUAAUCCAAUUAAUGAAAAGCCGCCGUAACGUUUUAGCUGACAAUUCUUGUGUGGUUUGAGAAACCCUAAAAUUGGGUCUCGGUGCCUGCUACCAUGGAUGUACGAUUCCCGUACUCUCCGGCGGAGGUGGCCAAGGUCCGGGUGGUCCAGUUCGGCAUCCUCAGCCCCGAUGAAAUUGUAAUUUCUCUAAACUCCAUGCCCUUUUCGCAAAUUAUAUCUACUCCAGGGUUUUGGAUUUGGGUUUUGAUAUUGAUUUUCACUCUGCCUUACUGGAGCUGAGUUACUGUUUUUGGAUUGAUUGCAGAGACAAAUGUCAGUGGUGCAUAUAGAGCACAGCGAGACGACAGAGAGGGGAAAGCCGAAGAUAGGGGGUUUGAGUGACCCCCGGCUGGGGACAAUUGAUCGGAAGAUGAAAUGUGAAACUUGUAUGGCUAGUAUGGCGGAAUGCCCCGGUCAUUUUGGUCAUCUUGAGCUAGCAAAGCCUAUGUUUCACAUUGGUUUUAUAAAGACAGUGCUCAGUAUUAUGCGUUGCGUAUGCUUUAACUGCUCCAAAAUACUAGCAGAUGAGGUACCUUUGCACAAAUCAUUACUAAAAUUAGCCCUGAAUAUUUUGGAGUUUUCACAUGCUUAGUAAUUAAUUUUUCUUCAAAAGCAUGAGAAUUUAACAAGAGUAAUGCAUUAGACGUAUACCGACAAACUGUGUUGAUCUUUCUUUCCAACUUAAUUGGUGGAGAUAUUAGCAGACGAGAUAUCUGUAUGCAAGUUGCUAUAUUACAGUUUAGCUCUUAACAUUUGGAUGUUUGACAUGUUGAAUAAUCAUCUGUGGUUUUAAAAUUCCCUUGUUGCAGAGCAAUGAUAUGUAAAUCAAUGAACCCUGAUAAGUUUUCUUGCCAAUUCAGUCGUACAUAGCAAGUGCUGGUUGAAAAUUCGUAGGCCCACAGCAUAGCUGUAAAUAUUGCGCAACCUGCACCUAACUCGAGUUAUGGCUGCAUUCCUCUUGUCACAUGCACAUGGGCGCAUUCCCUGUUGCUCUAAAUUAGUGUAAUUUGAUGAAAUUCUAGGAUCUCAAAUAUUUGCUAUCUAGUUCCUUCUUUUAUAGGGUUAACUGCUUUAUAAAGCUGAUCAUAUGAAAUCAUUUACCCAUCUAUACCUAAUCUUUGCUUAGGCUUGGAAAGUUUGAUUGUCAACAAAUGUUAUGAAUUGCACUCUGCUUAGAAUUAAGGGAAGAUAUUUUUAGAGUCAGUAACAACUAUUAAAUGAUGUUAUGUGUUGUUCCUUUGAUGCAGAGGAUGCAAGAUAAAUGGAGGUGUCAAAAACAUUUAUGAUGGCUUCAGUUGGAAAAUCACUGUAUAGUUAUGCAGUUUGUUUUAGGUUAUAGGUGUUUGGAUGCUGAAUCUAUGGUACUGAAGAAUCUUUAUUUCCACUUAAUCAGCUCUUGCAUCAUACCCAUUGUUCUCGCUAUAUUUAGUUUCUCAGUGAUUGAUCUUUUUUGUAUCUAUAAAGAUGUAAUUGUUUUGUUUUUGUGGCUAGGAGUUUUAAAUCAGUUGAUUGUACAAAUGGUUCAUCUGUGACAUGUUCCUCGAUUCCAUCUAUAUGUGGUGUUUGGCUGUCCUUUUUUUUUGGCACUGGCAUUAGGCAGACCUUUGUGCAACAGGCAGCUACUUCACUUAAUACAUACUAGUGGAGGCAGGAGCUUUACUUCCAAUACUAUUUGAAAAUUAUAUUUUUAUACCAACUCUACCCCGGACAGAAAUGGUUUAGAAGGGUUCUUAUGGAUGAUUUAAAAGCAUAUCUGCUUAACAAUAGUGAAUAAAUGGGUUCCAUUAUCUUAACAGUGGUCUCUUCUUGUCGUAAAUACAGGAGGAUCCCAAGUUCAAGCAGGCACUCAGGAUAAGAAAUCCUAAGAAUAGACUUAAGAAGAUAUUGGAUGCCUGCAAAAACAAAAGUAAAUGCGAAGGAGGUGAUGAAAUUGAUGUUCAAGGUCAAGAUUCUGAAGAACCAGUUAAGAAGACACGGGGUGGUUGUGGUGCUCAGCAGCCAAAACUUACUAUUGAUGGAAUGAAAAUGGUUGCUGAAUACAAGGUUCAGAAAAAGAAAAAUGAUGAUCAAGAGCAGUUGCCUGAACCUGUUGAGCGAAAGCAACAGCUUUCUGCAGAAAAGGUGACUUGUCUUGGAGUCUAAUUGACUUUUGGGAAUGGAAUUCACCCGUAUCUGUUGGCUUUCUCUUUAUUGGGCAUGAAGGGUAUUUUUUUAACCCCUUCCGACUGUGGUGCUCCAUGGAACUGAACAUUAGUUUGCCUGUUUAUUCAGGUUCUUAGUAUUCUGAAAAGGAUAAGUGAUGAAGAUUGCCAGUUACUAGGAUUCAACCCCAAAUAUGCUCGUCCAGACUGGAUGAUUCUUCAAGUUCUUCCUAUACCACCACCUCCUGUUAGACCUUCUGUAAUGAUGGACACUUCUUCAAGGAGUGAGGCAAGCCAAUUUCUUCAUGCUUUGAAUUCUGAUUACCAGCUUAUUCUUACUCUAUGCUUUUACUUUGAUUGCACUGGUUGAGUUGCUUAAUUGGUAACAUUGCAAUCAGCCACUUCACCCAUGGACAGAUUUUAAUCAUCUAUUUGUUAAUGCAGGAUGAUCUGACUCAUCAGCUAGCUAUGGUCAUAAGGCACAAUGAGAAUCUUAAGAGGCAAGAGAGAAAUGGUGCACCUGCUCACAUAAUCUCAGAAUUUGCACAGUUAUUGCAGUUCCAUAUAGCUACAUACUUUGAUAAUGAACUGCCUGGACAGCCAAGAGUAUGAUUUUUUCUUUGUUAAAGCAAUUGAAGUUAAUGCGUGAAAAAUAUUGUAUCGACUUGAUUAGUCACUUUUCAGGCUACACAAAGAUCUGGUAGACCAAUUAAAUCAAUAUGUAGCAGAUUGAAAGCGAAGGAAGGUCGGAUUAGAGGCAACUUGAUGGGUAAAAGAGUGGACUUUUCUGCUCGGACUGUGAUUACACCUGACCCAACAAUCAAUAUUGAUCAACUGGGAGUGCCUUGGAGCAUUGCUCUCAAUCUGACAUAUCCAGAAACUGUUACUCCUUACAACAUUGAAAGGUCUUGUAAUUGCUUUUUCUGUUAACAGUUUUGCUUCUAUAUCAUGAUUUUGAAUAGACAACUGCACUCGAAUAUUGAACAGGUUGAAAGAGCUUGUUGAAUAUGGCCCGCAUCCACCACCAGGAAAAACUGGUGCCAAGUACAUAAUCAGAGAUGAUGGUCAGAGGCUUGAUCUUCGUUAUUUGAAAAAAAGCAGUGAUCAGCAUCUGGAACUUGGAUAUAAGGCAAGCUUCUGUAAUAUCUUGAUAAGAGUUGUGAUUUUUUGCUACUUCUGGUUAACUGUAUUGUUGUGGUGCAGGUGGAGCGGCACUUAAAUGAUGGGGAUUUUGUACUUUUCAAUAGGCAACCUAGUCUGCACAAAAUGUCUAUAAUGGGGCAUAGGAUCAAGAUCAUGCCAUAUUCAACAUUUCGUUUAAAUUUGUCGGUUACUUCACCAUACAAUGCUGAUUUUGAUGGGGAUGAGAUGAAUAUGCAUGUUCCGCAGUCAUUUGAAACUAGAGCAGAAGUUCUGGAACUUAUGAUGGUCCCUAAAUGCAUCGUUUCACCCCAAUCAAAUCGGCCAGUGAUGGGCAUUGUCCAGGAUACACUUUUGGGAUGCCGCAAGAUAACUAAAAGAGAUACAUUUAUUGAGAAGGUACUUGGUUUGUUUCAUUUCCUCUGUUUGGACCAGACACCAUCCUUCACUGUUUCUUUCUUGAAUCUGAACUCUUAAUUGGUCCUUAUUGUGCAGGAUGUCUUUAUGAACAUUUUGAUGUGGUGGGAGGAUUUUGAUGGGAAGAUACCUGCUCCAGCAAUCUUGAAACCAAGGCCUCUUUGGACAGGAAAGCAAGUUUUCAAUCUUAUUAUUCCAAAACAAAUUAAUCUCCAGAGAAAUGCGGCAUGGCAUCAAGAUGAUGAACCUGGGCCUAUAACUCCGGGAGACACUCAAGUUCGUAUUGAGAAAGGGGAGUUGCUUACCGGUACCCUUUGCAAGAAGGCACUUGGAACUUCCACUGGAAGUCUUAUUCAUGUUAUUUGGUAUGAUUACAAGUUUCUGAAAUCGUAACCUUUUGUCCACAGCUUGACUGUGACAGCUUGGAAAUAUUCUAUUGGCUUCAUGAUCUAAUGAGAUUCUUUGCUUUUCUUGAUUAACUUCUGGUUUCGCUAUACUAGUUUCAACAUGCAAGCAAUCUGUAUUCAGUAUUGUUGCUUAAUAGCAACAUACUGGGUCAGUGCGUGAAAAGUUCCAUGGUUUUUAUCCAUGAUCAAACACAGCUGCAACAUGAGAUAGUGCUUCUAUAUGGAACGAUGAAUUAUUUUAAUUGACUUGUACUAAUACAUGCAGGGAGGAGGUUGGUCCAGAUGCAGCUCGCAAGUUUCUUGGACAUACACAGUGGCUUGUCAAUUAUUGGCUUUUGCAGAAUGGUUUUAGCAUUGGAAUUGGAGAUACUAUUGCUGAUGCUCAAACUAUGGAAAAAAUCAAUGAUACUAUUUCAAAUGCGAAGAAUGAUGUGAAAGAACUUAUCAGGAAAGCUCAAGAAAAGGCACUGGAGGCUGAACCUGGACGAACUAUGAUGGACUCAUUUGAAAACAAAGUGAACCAGGUAUUUAUAUUUAAUGGACGAUCUUAUAUGCCUUUUGUAUGCUCUCCUAUCUUUUGAGGUUUGAGAUGUGCGAUCUGGUUGUCUUAGGUGCUGAAUAAGGCUCGUGAUGAUGCUGGAAGCAGUGCCCAAAAGAGCUUAUCAGAGAGUAACAAUCUAAAGGCAAUGGUUACUGCAGGAUCGAAGGGAAGUUUCAUCAAUAUAUCUCAGAUGACUGCUUGUGUGGGGCAGCAGAAUGUGGAAGGUAAACGAAUUCCUUUUGGAUUCAUUGACAGGACGCUGCCUCAUUUUACUAAAGAUGAUUUUGGUCCGGAAAGUCGUGGUUUUGUGGAGAAUUCAUAUCUGCGUGGGUUGACCCCCCAAGAGUUCUUCUUUCAUGCAAUGGGUGGUAGGGAAGGUCUGAUAGAUACGGCCGUUAAAACUUCUGAGACUGGUUACAUCCAAAGACGAUUGGUGAAGGCCAUGGAGGAUAUCAUGGUUAAAUAUGAUGGAACUGUCAGGAAUUCCCUGGGGGAUGUUAUUCAGUUUCUUUAUGGGGAAGAUGGCAUGGAUUCUGUGUGGAUUGAAUCACAGAAACUGGAAUCCUUAAAAGUCAAGAAAGGUGAAUUUGAUAGCAUGUACAAAUAUGAGAUUGAUGAUCCGAAUUGGAACCCUGAUUACAUGUUACCGGAAGCUGUGGAAGAUCUAAAGACCAUCCGGGAAAUCCGGAGUGUUUUUGAAGCAGAGUUUCAGAAACUUGAAGCUGAUAGGUUGCAACUAGGGACAGAGAUUGCAACCACAGGUGAUAACACCUGGCCUUUGCCUGUAAACAUUAGGAGACUUGUCUCAAAUGCACAGAAGACCUUUAAGAUAGAUUUCCGAAGGCCUUCAGAUAUGCAUCCCAUGGAGAUUGUUGAAGCAGUAGAUAAGCUACAGGAGAGGCUUAAGGUUGUUCAUGGUGAUGAUUAUCUUAGUGCUGAAGCUCAAAAGAAUGCUACCCUUUUCUUCAAUAUAUUGCUUCGGAGUGCCUUGGCGAGUAAAAGAGUAUUGAAUGACUACAGGCUUACUCGUGAAGCUUUUGAUUGGGUAAUUGGUGAGAUAGAGUCGCGUUUCCUACAGUCACUUGUCGCUCCUGGAGAAAUGAUUGGUUGUGUUGCUGCACAAUCCAUUGGUGAGCCUGCCACUCAGAUGACUCUUAAUACAUUCCAUUAUGCUGGUGUGAGUGCCAAGAAUGUUACCCUUGGUGUUCCUAGGUUGAGGGAGAUCAUUAAUGUGGCUAAGAAGAUAAAAACACCGUCUCUCUCAAUAUACCUGAAGCAUAAGGCAAGUGAAACAAAGGAGAAGGCAAAAAAUGUCCAAUGUGCUUUAGAAUACACCACCUUGCGUAGUGUUACACAGGCCACGGAAGUAUGGUACGAUCCAGAUCCAAUGAGCACCAUAAUCCCUGAAGACGUUGAAUUUGUGAAGUCUUAUUAUGAAAUGCCAGAUGAAGACAUCGAUCCUGAUAAAAUUUCUCCCUGGUUGCUGAGAAUAGAGUUGAAUCGGGAAAUGAUGGUAGACAAGAAGCUGAGUAUGGCAGACAUCGCGGAGAAGAUCAACCUUGAGUUUGAUAGUGAUCUGACUUGUAUAUUCAAUGAUGACAACGCUGAUAAGCUGAUACUUCGUAUUCGGAUCAUGAAUGAUGAAGCACCCAAGGGGGAGCUGAAUGAUGAAUCUGCUGAGGAUGAUGUCUUCCUUAAAAAGAUUGAGAGCAACAUGCUAACCGAAAUGGCUCUUCGGGGUAUUCCUGAUAUUAACAAAGUUUUUAUCAAACAAGCUAAAGUAAACAAAUUUACUCAGGAGGAAGGAUUUAAGACAGACUCCAAUGAGUUUAUGUUGGACUCAGAAGGUGUUAAUCUUUUAGCCGUUAUGUGCCAUGAAGAUGUUGAUGCCAGCAGGACGACAAGUAAUCACUUGAUUGAAGUUAUUGAAAUUCUUGGAAUAGAGGCAGUACGUAAGGCAUUGCUGGACGAAUUGCGUGUUGUCAUAUCCUUUGAUGGGUCUUAUGUAAACUACCGGCACCUUGCAAUAUUGUGUGAUACCAUGACUUAUCGUGGUCAUUUGAUGGCAAUCACUCGUCAUGGGAUUAAUCGAAAUGAUACUGGGCCAUUGAUGAGGUGCUCUUUUGAAGAAACUGUUGAUAUACUUCUCGAUGCUGCUGUUUAUGCGGAAACAGAUUACCUCCGGGGGGUUACUGAAAAUAUAAUGUUGGGUCAGCUUGCACCCAUUGGCACAGGAGACUGUGCCUUGUACCUCAACGAGGAGAUGUUGAAACAGGCUAUUGAGAUUUCUCUUCCCAGUUACAUGGAGGGUAACCUAGAAUUUGGGAUGACACCUGGUCGUUCGCCUUUUGGUGGAACGCCCUACCACGAGGGGAUGAUGUCUCCAGGUUAUUUGACAAGUCCAAAUGCCCGGUUGUCACCUCAUGCAGAUGCUCAGUUCUCUCCUUUUGUGCAAUCGAUGGGAUUAACUUUCUCUCCACAAUCAUCUCCAGGUUAUAGCCCAUCAUCCCCUGGAUACAGCCCCUCAUCCCCUGGUUACAGCCCCACUUCUCCAGGUUACAGCCCUACAUCCCCUGGUUACAGCCCCACUUCCCCUGGUUAUAGUCCAACUUCUCCUACUUAUAGUCCCAGUUCUCCUGGAUAUAGCCCAACUAGUCCUGCUUAUUCUCCAACUAGUCCUUCAUACUCACCCACUUCUCCCAGCUACAGCCCCACAUCUCCCAGUUAUAGCCCAACAUCUCCAAGUUAUAGUCCUACUUCUCCCAGUUAUAGUCCGACCUCUCCGAGUUAUAGCCCCACCUCCCCAGCAUACAGCCCGACCUCCCCAGCAUACAGCCCGACCUCCCCAUCUUAUAGCCCCACAUCACCUUCUUACAGCCCUACCUCACCUUCUUAUAGCCCUACCUCACCUUCUUAUAGCCCAACCUCACCCUCUUACAGUCCAACCUCUCCAUCAUACAGUCCCACAUCACCUGCAUAUAGUCCAACUUCUCCGGGUUACAGCCCCACCUCCCCAAGUUAUAGCCCUACCUCACCGAGCUAUAGUCCCACGUCUCCUAGCUACAAUCCCUCGGCAAGGUACAGCCCUUCACUUGCAUACUCCCCAACUAGUCCGAAGCUGUCACCUUCAAGCCCAUACAGUCCUUCCUCUCCAAGUUACAGGUACCUUUUUGUCCGUUCUACAAAUUUCAAACUUGCAGGAUGCUGAUCCUGCAUGUAAGGGCUUGGCCCUUUGCAAAAGUAUUGGUUGCAUCUGCUGCAAGUAGGCAGUUGCUUGGUUAUUUUUUUGAUUUGUAAAUUCUCCUCUAGUCACGCAUGUUAACAUUAAGUUUGAUGACUUUAGUUUAGUUCCUUGUCCACUUACAUGCUUUAAUUUUUGUCAUGCAGCCCAACAUCACCUUCGUAUUCUCCAACAUCCCCAUCAUAUUCCCC